This 63178-nucleotide long non-coding RNA is filed under the name Arabidopsis lyrata. RNAcentral describes it as "long non-coding RNA (ALYR_LNC003353)". Lineage: Eukaryota; Viridiplantae; Streptophyta; Magnoliopsida; Brassicales; Brassicaceae. The record is from RNAcentral.
AAAAAAAAAAAAAAAAACUGAUCCGUGUUACAAUCAAUGAUUUUGAAUUAUUCAGGUUGAUGCAGCUCUUGAUCCAAGUCACACACACAACAUAGGAAGAAGCUCAUUUCCCUCACUCGCAGGUCAAAAUAUCACACACACAACUAUUCAUCUAUGUGUGGCAAGCUUAAUAUUUUUGACCAUACAUAUAGAUAUAUUUUUUCAUAAAAAAAAAGGUCUAAAUAGAAGUAAAAAGAGUCUAAAAUAACACCAAUCUAUUUUUUUUUUGGUGCAAAAAAUAACACCAAUAAUCUAUGGCUAAUCCUUAGAUAAUGGUAAUAUGCUUGAACUUGGAUUGGAUUUACUAAGUGCUUCCUCGAUAUCCUCAUGAUAGUCCGGACAGUGGUUGCAUGUGCAUAUGCAGUUCUUGGCUUCCGACGAAGAUCUAUGUUCCUCAAUUAAACCUAGUUUAAAAAUUAGGUAUAGAAGAGCCAAUAGGAUUAAGUAGAAUAUACCGCCGAUCACAAAAAGAGCAACCUCCAGCAAUCCCCACGCCAUUGAAGGAAAUUAUUUAAUGGGAAAAUAAAGAAACGUAAAAUCUUCCAUUAGGCUGUGUAUUAUAUAUAUAUAUACUCGAGGAUUCAUUGGGUCAGAGAUUAUUUAGGAUCAGGAUACCUAUGAAUAUUCCACAAGAGUCUUGGAUUAUAUUUAUAUAUAUAAAUUCGUCAUUUAUCUUUAUAAAAUAAAGUAAAAGUUUUUUUUCUCCUAAGGAUAACACAACAAAGAUAUAUACGGUAUUUUCACAUAUGUCACAAGAUAGAUUUUGUAUCCUCUUUCGUGUUUCGAUAUAUCUUCAUAACACAAUACUAAAAAAGAUUUGCAUAUUGAUGGGAUGAACUUAAAGGAUUCUCGGAGAUCGUUAUGCGUAUCGGCUUGGAGAAUCGAAGCAAGGGUGCUCGAAUGAUAUAAGAUUUAUCGAUCAAAGACAAGUCAUACGUUGUGACUAGAUGAUGAAGAAAUAUAGCCAUCCCAAGCCUAGCAAACUCUGCUCCUGCACAUAGUCUUGCACCACCACCAAACGCCAUGAACGUUUUAGAGCCACAAAGCAAUUCCUUCCCCUCCCAUCUCCAUGGAUUAAACUCACAUGGUUGUUCAUAGAUUUGAGGGUCAUAAUGAAGAAGAGAUGGAACAACCAAUACAAUCCAUCCUGCUGGAAUUGUAUACCCUGCAACCACAAGACGAUUUUCAUUGGUAACAAACUUAUAGUUAUUUUCAUGACGCAAAAGAGAGACUCAAACUUGCCUUUGAUCUCCACAUCACUCACCACCUUUCUAAACAUAGCAGGUGACAAACUCCCUAAACGAAGAGACUCAUUGAUAACCUGCAAUUGCAACAAUCAACUAAAUGUUUUCAUCACUUAAUCGAUGUGCAACGAGUUUGGAAUUUCAUUUUUUUAACAAGUAUAUAAUAAGAAAACAAAAAGCUACCAUAUGGGUGAAAUUCAUCAUGGAUCUAUAUUCUUUCCAAGUAACUCCAGAUUCUUUAUCAGCUCUGUUUUGGAGGAUGAUCUAUAGUCAUGUUCGAGUAAGACAUUUAGGACAAUUUACUAAUAUCUAAAGUUUAACUCACAUAAUAGUAAUUAAUAAUUUAGUUUCGAAAAAAAAUUUACAUGAUUUAAGAGUAUUUAGAUAGAAUUGAUAAAUUGAGAUGAGAGUUAGAACAUUAAUACAGAAAAAAUUUGUGGAUUUUUAUUUAAAAUUUAAAUAUCAGGAAAAAAAUUUAAACAAUAAGAUGGAAUAUGUAGAAUUAAAAUUAUUAGCUCUUAUCCGUUAAGAUGGAGUUUAUCGAAGAAUUAAAAUAUUUCUUAUCAUGAAAUAAAUAGUUAAAUUGUAUUGCAAAAUAGAAUGUGUCAGAUUGAAAUUUGGUUAAAAAAUUAGAUUAAGUAUAAAUAAAUGUAUAAUACUAUUUGUAUUUCAAAUAUUAUCAAAAAAUUAUAUUUAUUUUUUCACAUCCGCCUAUUUAGGCGGGUCUUAUCUAGUUCAAUAUACAUGGAACUGGCAGGAAUAGGUUGCCACAAGUUUGGCGAGAAUUGAGUUGGAGGCUCAUAAGAGUAAAUGGAAGCAAAUUUUGUACAAAUUUAUGGUAGUUUGUUUUAUAAAACACCAUAUUUUAUACAAAUAUUGUCCUUUUGAAUAAUAUUUAGAAUUGGAAGUUAGCUCUUAAUGAAAGAUCAGUGAAUAUGGGAGCUUGUUUGAUAGAUGAUUCGGGAUCACAUAUGGCAAUCUUAUGUGGCUUUAGCCUUUAGGUCUCCAAAAAGUGUAGCGGUUCACAAUGCUCAAGAGGUUGCAAGGAUUGUGGUAAGUUUAAAUUAGUUAUCAUCAGCAAAUGCUCACAUGAUAAAAGAAAUAGUCUGAUUUAUGUUGACUUACUUACUAUGCUAUGCAUCUAGGUCAGACCAGUGGCUUGGCUUUCCUUGAUAUUAUAUCCUGUUGGAAGAGUAGUGACAUAUCUUUCGAUGGGAAUUCUGAAAAUUCUUUGUUUGAAAGGACGGAGGUAUGUAUCAAAUAAGAGUUGUCUGUCCAAAUCAAAAUAUAUUAGUGUGCUUUUUUCCUUGUUGAAAGAGAGUUAGGGCAACUUACCUAUAGUCUAUUUUUCUUUUUGUGCCAGUGAGCCAUAUGUUACUGAAGAUGAAUUGAAACUAAUGCUACGCGGAGCAGAAUUAAGUGGGGCUAUAGAAGAGGAAGAGCAGGUAUGAGUUUGUUAUAUAUGGAUUUUGGAUGAGUCUUUGGACUCUUUACCAUAGACUUGUGAUAAUUCAAAUGAUACAUGUUGCAGGAUAUGAUUGAAAAUGUGUUAGAGAUAAAGGAUACGCAUGUUCGAGAGGUGAUGACUCCUCUUGUUGAUGUAGUUGCAAUAGAUGGCAGCGGCAGCCUGGUUGAUUUCCAUAACUUUUGGGUGACCCACCAGUACUCGAGGUCUAUAAAUUGUCACUGCUUUAGUGAACCUUUUUCGUCCCUUAGGAUUAUUCAUUAUGCUCAAAAAAUUUCUUCACAGGGUGCCUGUUUUUGAGCAGAGGAUUGAUAACAUAGUUGGUAUUGCAUAUGCUAUGGAUCUGCUAGAUUAUGUUCCAAAGGUCUGGCUGCCUCAUUCUCUGUUUCUUGUAUUUGUUUUCUUUUCACUGAUGGCGUUCGAGGAGACCAUAGUUGUGCACUUAUGUAGAAUGAAUUUUAUAUGUUUUCUUCUGUUUUGUAGGGUAACUUGCUUGAAAGUACUACUGUGGUGGACAUGGCACAUAAACCUGCAUUCUUUGUCCCUGGUAAUCAUCGAUGCAUUCAAUCUUUUAAUUUAAUACCUAAACCUUUGACAUUUUUUGUUCACAUGGAAUAAACUUUGAUGCUCUGUCAAAUAAUUUGCAGAUUCAAUGUCAGUUUGGAAUGUUCUUAGAGAGUUUAGAAUAAGAAAGGUUCACAUGGCAGUUGUUCUUAAUGAAUACGGUGGAACCAUUGGAGUAUGUUGCUGGUUGUCCUCUUCUUAACUUUAUUUUUUCUCUCCUGCUCUCUUGAAAGGUUGUCUAAUUUCUCUCCAUGCAGAUAAUAACUCUUGAAGAUGUGGUCGAACAGAUUGUUGGUGAAAUAUUUGAUGAAAACGAUUCAAAGGUAAGUUCAUCCUAGUGUUUCAGCUUGUUGCUAUUCUUCAAGGUUGGGUUGAAUAGGAGGAGAUUCAGAACAAAACGGGUUAUAUAUGAGAGCGGAGUAGAUUUAAAUUUCUCACUGCCAUUGUUUUGGGCUCAAUAGGAGGAGAUUCAGAAGAAAACGGGUUACAUCGUGAUGAGAGCAGAAGGGAUAUAUGAUGUUGAUGCCAACACUUCGAUUGACCAGUUAUCUGAAGAACUUAACAUAAAGAUGUUAGAGGUAAUAUACUCUGUUGCUGUGUCUUUAGUGUGUCCCUCUAGAAAGCAGAACCGAUCUUUAAGAUUACUUGUUGGCAGAGUAUAAACUAUCCUUGUUCCCCUUUUUGCAAGGCCAUCAGUAUGAGACAGUCUCAGGUUUUGUCUGUGAGGCCUUUGGGUAUAUCCCAAAGACAUGUGAGAGUGUGACGGUAGUUCUUGAAAAGGAAAACUGGGAAGAGAAUGAUGAACAAGAUGAGGGUAAACACGAGAGUCAAGAUCAGAAGGAAAAGCACCAAGUUUAUAGACUAGAGGUACAUCGACUCAUAGUACUACUUCCCCUUGCACCACAUUCUGCAAAAUGCAUAAUUUAUUCUCUAACUACAUUUGUUGAUAGAUACUAGCAGGGAAUGCCAGAAAAGUGAGUACAGUCCGGUUCGAACGAGUUAAUAAUAUGGAUGAAGUGUCAGAGGCGCGAGAUGUAAAAAACAUGGUUCCCAAGUUCGUAAGAAAAUGGAGCAGUGAGGAAGAUACCGAUGGUAAUCUCCAAGCCAAGAAUGCCGUCUUUGAUGAGCAUCUAAUUGCUGAAACUGAAAGUAUGAAGAAAGAAUAAUGAUAAAAGAGGAGGAGACAGAGGAUGAAAUAAAGGAUGAACAAUACUGUUGUAAGUUUUUUAACUGAAAGAGGAUUAGUUGCUUCUUACAUUCAUCUCUUGUUUACCAAUAGUGAGAUAUAUCUUCAUAACACAAUACAAAAAAGAUUUGCAUAUUGAUGGGAUGAACUUAAAGGAUUCUCGGAGAUCGUUAUGCGUAUCGGCUUGGAGAAUUGAAGCAAGGGUGCUCGAAUGAUAUAAGAUUUAUCGAUCAAAGACAAGUCAUACGUUGUGACUAGAUGAUGAAGAAAUAUAGCCAUCUGAAGCCUAGCAAACUCUGCUCCUGCAAAUAGUCUUGCACCACCACCAAACGCCAUGAACGUUUUAGAGCCACAAAGCAAUUCCUUACCCUCCCAUCUCCAUGGAUUAAACUCACAUGGUUGUUCAUAGAUUUGAGGGUCAUAAUGAAGAAGAAAAUGGAACAACCAAUACAAUCCAUCCUGCUGGAAUUGUAUACCCUGCAACCACAACACGAUUUUGAAUUGGAUCAUUGGUAACAAACUUAUAGUUAUUUUCAUGACGCAAAAGAGAGACUCAAACUUGCCUUUGAUCUCCACAUCACUCACCACCUUUCUAAACAUAGCAGGUGACAAACUCCCUAAACGAAGAGACUCAUUGAUAACCUGCAAUUGCAACAAUCAACUAAAUGUUUUCAUCACUUAAUCGAUGUGCAACGAGUUUGGAAUUUCAUUUUUUUAACAAGUAUAUAAUAAGAAAACAAAAAGCUACCAUAUGGGUGAAAUUCAUCAUGGAUCUAUAUUCUUUCCAAGUAACUCCAGAUUCUUUAUCAGCUCUGUUUUGGAGGAUGAUCUAUAGUCAUGUUCGAGUAAGACAUUUAGGACAAUUUACUAAUAUCUAAAGUUUAACUCACAUAAUAGUAAUUAAUAAUUUAGUUUAAAAAAAAAUUUACAUGAUUUAAGAGUAUUUAGAUAGAAUUGAUAAAUUGAGAUGAGAGUUAGAACAUUAAUACAGAAAAAAUUUGUGGAUUUUUAUUUAAAAUUUAAAUAUCAGGAAAAAAAUUUAAACAAUAAGAUGGAAUAUGUAGAAUUAAAAUUAUUAGCUCUUAUCCGUUAAGAUGGAGUUUAUCGAAGAAUUAAAAUAUUUCUUAUCAUGAAAUAAAUAGUUAAAUUGUAUUGCAAAAUAGAAUGUGUCAGAUUGAAAUUUGGUUAAAAAUUUAGAUUAAGUAUAAAUAAAUGUAUAAUACUAUUUGUAUUUCAAAUAUUAUCAAAAAAUUAUAUUUAUUUUUUCACAUUCGCCUAUUUAGGCGGGUCUUAUCUAGUUCAAUAUACAUGGAACUGGCAGGAAUAGGUUGCCACAAGUUUGGCGAGAAUUGAGUUGGAGGCUCAUAAGAGUAAAUGGAAGCAAAUUUUGUACAAAUUUAUGGUAGUUUGUUUUAUAAAACACCAUAUUUUAUACAAAUAUUAUCCUUUUGAAUAAUAUUUAGAAUUGGAAGUUAGCUCUUAAUGAAAGAUCAGUGAAUAUGAGAGCUUGUUUGAUAGAUGAUUCGGGAUCACAUAUGGCAAUCUUAUGUGGCUUUAGCCUUUAGGUCCCCAAAGUGGUUACAUAAUUUUUUGAAUCAAUUAUGAAUUUGCCAUUUUUUGAAUAAUCUUUGUUGAGUGUGCCAUUUUUUUGAAUAGUUUGUGGAUUUGCCAUUUUUCAAGCAACAAAAAAAUGAUUUAACAGUUAACAUUAGUAUUACUCUUUAUGUUUGGGUUUAGUCUAUUCUAUUUGUUUUUAGGGUUUAGUAUUUGGUAUAAAGUAUGUAUUUUGCACAAAAAAAGUAGUAAAUACAUAUAUUUGGUAUUUGGUAUAAAGUAUAGCAUUUUCGUAAGAUUUUCUAAAAAAAAUGUAUUUUUUCUACAAGAAUCCCUAAUUUCUUUUUUUUUUGGAAUGUAGGCAUGUAGCAUUACAUAAGGGGUUAGUUCUUGUUUAUACCACUGUAUUGUUGAACCCUUUGUCGUCCAAACAAGACACGCAUUGGUGAGAGCUUCACAUUUGCCGUUGUCGGUUGUUAUUGUUGGUUUGGGAAACAGAGACUUCACACAAAUCCAGGAGGUACACAUUUUUUUUUUUAGUUUUUCUUCUUUUUUUGGGUUUAUUUGAUCUCUCUUUCAGUGAAUUGGAAGUACACCAUCUUGGACUCGCUUAUUGCAUUAGUAUCUUUCUCUGCCGGCGGAUUGAUUCCGAUGCUCUGUGGCAUGCUUGUGAAACCUCGAAUUCUAAGGAUUGUGUUUCUGGUGAUUUCCUGUGAUUUUGUAAAAAUAACUACAAAACUAAAAAAAAAUUAUUUAUGAGUUAUAAUUUUUUUUGGUUAUUACAAAAAUCACCUUUUUAUUUAUGGGAAUUUGUGUGAAUAAUCCGAAAAAUAACUAAAAAUCUAACCAAUUAACCUAAAUCUAAUGGUCAUGAUUAUGCCACAUAUGCUAAUAUCAGUUAGUUGCUUAAUUAUUAUUACUAGAUUUACUCGUCCGCGCGUUGCGUGGGAUAUCAACUUUAAACUGGCAACAAUACAAAAUGUUAAAAAUAAUUAUAAUCAUUUGAAUUUCAAAACUAUACAUAUUCAUACUUGUUUUACAAAACAGUACACAACAUAAAAAUUAUCAAAAAUAUUUAGUAUAUACCACGUAAUAACAAAAGUAAUAUUAGAUGAAUUGGUCUCGGUAGUCAUCCAUGAACUUUUGUCAAAAAGAGAGUUUAUUCCAUAAUCAAAUCUUGUAAGUAUAUCUAUCUCGAAAUUUUAACAUAAUCAUACCCCAUAAUAAAAGUAAAUUUGCUGAGUUUGAAUAUCAAUUUCAUGAAAAUGUAUAAACGUAAUAUUCAUGCUGCUUCAAUAGAUUUGGAGAGCACAAUUUACCUAUUGAAGCAAGACAAUCAUGCAUUAAGAGAUUUUUUGAUAAAAUCAUGAAUGUCCUUAUCUUAUCUUAUCUAUCCUACAACACUUUAUUACAUGGUUCAAUGAUUUAACUCAAUGUUGAAUAUGAUAGUCUGGUUUACUAAAUCAAACUAUCCGAUAGUGCAUCAAUAUAUCCGAUGAAUUUACUUAAGUCAUGUGCAUACAUAUAUCCGAUGCUUCAAGCAUUAGUCAAUUCCUCUUCAAACAUUUUUUUCUAUCAUUUUUUCGUCAUCUUCUAUGAUGCACUUGUUUGCCUCCCAACAUCUACUCUUCUUUUAUCUUAUAUGCUCAUUUACAUAUAAUAAAACUUUGAAUUCAUUCUUAACUUAAAACUAUUUUCUCAUUUUCUUCUUCUUUUAAUUAUAUAAUUUUCAUGUUUGAGUGUAAUAUACUUUUACGGAAGAUAUAUAUUUAUGAAAAUUGUCUCAACACUUAUUUAAAUUUUUACCUAUAUUUAAAUAUUUUCACUUUUUUUUAUCUAGAAAGAAAACAAUAAUAUAAAUAUAACUAUAUUAUUUUAGUUGUUAUAUAUUUACUAUAAUUUAAUAUUAAGAUACAAUCAAUCUUUCUAUUUUUUCGUCAAUGUGAAUUUAUACUUUUACUUUCUUGAAAUAUAAUUUCCAAUUUUAAAAAUGAAUUAUUUCUUAUAUCUUAAGAAAACUUAUACAAUCAUAAGUUUACUAUAACAUUUAACCAUUUAUUUUUAAUCUAAAAAUAUACUAUUUUAAAUAGAUUUCUUCCACUUCAUUAUCAUCUCUUCAAGUUAAUGUUUCCAACAAAUAUGAAUAUCUUCUUAUUAUUAAAAAAAAACUCUUAUAGUCUUCCAUUUCAAUUCAAUUCAAUUCUUUUGUUCAUCCUAAAUUAUAUUUGAGGUCUCCUUAUUAAUCUCAAAAAAAAUGAUUGUUUUUAAACGUUUUUUAUUUUUUUAUUUUUAAUAAGUUAUUAUUUUUUGUAAUUGUAUAAUAAAUUUCAUUAAGAAUCAUUUUGCCCUCUUAAAUAACAUUGGUAUUUCUAUGAAAUUUGCAUUAUUAUUUUCUAAUUUCUUAAUUAUAUAUUUAGGGAUUAUGUUCAUUUUAAGUUAUAUAUUAGCAAAAAUUUAAUUUUAAGUGUUUUAUAUGUAUAUAUGUUACACUUGUGUUAUUAUUAUUCAAGUAACCUUUAUUUAAAAUUAUGCAUUAAUUGAAAAUUACUUGUAUAGUAAAUUUCAUUAAGAAUCAUUUUGCCCAUAUUAAAUAACAUUGGUAUUUCUAUGACUUUUCAUUAUUAUUUUUUAUUUGUUAAUUAUAUAUUUAGGGAUUAUGUUCAUUUUAAGUUAUAUAUUAGCAAAAAUUUAAUUUUAAGUGUUUUAUAUGUAUAUAUGUUACACUUGUGUUAUUAUUAUUCAAAUAACAAAUAACCUUUAUUUAAAAUUAUGCAUUAAUUGAAAAUUACUUCUUAGAUAAUUAGAUGUAAUUAACUAUAAAAUUAAAUAUUUUAAAAUAAUUAUUGGUGGGAUCCAUCAUAUUAAUUUGGUGAUGAUGUGGACACCCUAAGAGGAGAGAGAACUCUCCUAUUAUAUAUAUAAAUUUUCUUGGGUUAUUAUAAAAUAACCCUUUAUAUAUUACAUAAUAUAGUUUUUUUUUGUCACCCAAUUAUAUAGCUUUUUACAUAAUAUAAUCGGGCUGAUGAUAUGUGUUAAAAUUUAAAUUUAAUUAAGAAAAAAUAAAAUCAAAAAUGGAAAACUAACUGAAUAAUUAUCAAGUAAGUAACCAAAUAUAAAAAGGCGAACCUGAUGCCUAAUGUUGUUGUCUACACAUCUCUUCUAAACGGGUAUAUGAUCAAAUGGAUAGAAGAUCUGAAAUGUUUGCUAUAUGCUGCAGGAAUUGAAGCUGACAACAUAAUGUACAGUGUUAUCAUUAGUGCUUUCCUUAAAGAAGGGCUGACGACAAAAGCAUUUGUGCUUGUAAGCUAAGUAUUUCAAACAUGCCAGGGUCUACUCGCUGUUUUUUUCUAAAAUGGGAGGCAGCUGAGAAGGUUAUGGUUCGACUAAAAUACGUUCCUGAUUCUUCGAGUGUGAAUAAAUGAUCGUUGCAUUUCCUCAAACCAAAUCAUGGAAGCCGAUGCUGCUACAUAAAGAUUUAAGACGGAAAGCCAAAAGCCAAAAGCAGAUAAAUUUCUUUUUCUUUGUGGCUAACAAGGAGACUGCAUGCUGGUUUUUACUUUGGACCUGAAGAUUAUUGUAGAAAGUAAUCGUGUCAAAAGGUAACACUGAUCCUAAUCCUCUCACUUUAACUGGGUAUAACCACACGAAUCUACUCGGUCUCAAUCUUGUGAUGGAUAAUAUUAAGGCUAUGGUGGAAUGGUUCUUUUAUAUUUGCUCACACUCACAGUGAUGUAUUUUAUGGUGUCAAAGAUUGCAGUUAGUGGUAGUAACAAGCAUUUGAUAAAUGGGAAGCUUGCACAACCUAGUCAAGUCCAGAAUCUUUUCCACUCUGUGCAGCUUAAUAAUGUCAACAAUCCACACUUUCUCAUCAUGCAAGGUAGAAUCACCAAAGUCUUAAACAUGAAACCUCCCGAGAUACUGUGGGUGCUGGAACAAGAAUGUAUGAAAACAAGAAAGAAAGAAUGUUCAACAGUAGAGGAAGAAGAAGAAGAAGAUGAGACAUGGAGGAGCGAGAUAGUAACAAGGGUGAUGAGAAUCGUGAGCAAGAGAUUGAUCUUUUUUACUCUGCUACCUUGAUGGUCUUAAGGUUCGUGUUUCCUUUGGAAGUAGUCUUUAUCAGAUGACAGCAGAGGGCAAAGUAAGUGUUGCUUCUCUUCAAACCGGCGCCUCCUUUAUAUAUUACAUUCACCUCUGCUUUUUCAUUCUCAGAUUGAUUUGUCAAAAGUUGUCGGUAAUGUAUCUUUCGUAAAAAACUGAUCCGUGUUACAAUCAAUGAUUUUGAAUUAUUCAGGUUGAUGCAGCUCUUGAUCCAAGUCACACACACAACAUAGGAAGAAGCUCAUUUCCCUCACUCGCAGGUCAAAAUAUCACACACACAACUAUUCAUCUAUGUGUGGCAAGCUUAAUAUUUUUGACCAUACAUAUAGAUAUAUUUUUUCAUAAAAAAAAAGGUCUAAAUAGAAGUAAAAAGAGUCUAAAAUAACACCAAUCUAUUUUUUUUUUGGUGCAAAAAAUAACACCAAUAAUCUAUGGCUAAUCCUUAGAUAAUGGUAAUAUGCUUGAACUUGGAUUGGAUUUACUAAGUGCUUCCUCGAUAUCCUCAUGAUAGUCCGGACAGUGGUUGCAUGUGCAUAUGCAGUUCUUGGCUUCCGACGAAGAUCUAUGUUCCUCAAUUAAACCUAGUUUAAAAAUUAGGUAUAGAAGAGCCAAUAGGAUUAAGUAGAAUAUACCGCCGAUCACAAAAAGAGCAACCUCCAGCAAUCCCCACGCCAUUGAAGGAAAUUAUUUAAUGGGAAAAUAAAGAAACGUAAAAUCUUCCAUUAGGCUGUGUAUUAUAUAUAUAUAUACUCGAGGAUUCAUUGGGUCAGAGAUUAUUUAGGAUCAGGAUACCUAUGAAUAUUCCACAAGAGUCUUGGAUUAUAUUUAUAUAUAUAAAUUCGUCAUUUAUCUUUAUAAAAUAAAGUAAAAGUUUUUUUUCUCCUAAGGAUAACACAACAAAGAUAUAUACGGUAUUUUCACAUAUGUCACAAGAUAGAUUUUGUAUCCUCUUUCGUGUUUCGAUAUAUCUUCAUAACACAAUACUAAAAAAGAUUUGCAUAUUGAUGGGAUGAACUUAAAGGAUUCUCGGAGAUCGUUAUGCGUAUCGGCUUGGAGAAUCGAAGCAAGGGUGCUCGAAUGAUAUAAGAUUUAUCGAUCAAAGACAAGUCAUACGUUGUGACUAGAUGAUGAAGAAAUAUAGCCAUCCCAAGCCUAGCAAACUCUGCUCCUGCACAUAGUCUUGCACCACCACCAAACGCCAUGAACGUUUUAGAGCCACAAAGCAAUUCCUUCCCCUCCCAUCUCCAUGGAUUAAACUCACAUGGUUGUUCAUAGAUUUGAGGGUCAUAAUGAAGAAGAGAUGGAACAACCAAUACAAUCCAUCCUGCUGGAAUUGUAUACCCUGCAACCACAACACGAUUUUGAAUUAGAUCAUUGGUAACAAACUUAUAGUUAUUUACCAAAGUCUUAAACAUGAAACCUCCCGAGAUACUAUGGGUGCUGGAACAAGAAUGUAUGAAAACAAGAAAGAAAGAAUGUUCAACAGUAGAGGAAGAAGAAGAAGAAGAAGAGACAUGGAGGAGCGAGAUAGUAACAAGGGUGAUGAGAAUCGUGAGCAAGAGAUUGAUCUUUUUUACUCUGCUACCUUGAUGGUCUUGAGGUUCGUGUUUCCUUUGGAAGUAGUCUUUAUCAGAUGACAGCAGAGGGCAAAGUACGUGUUGCUUCUCUUCAAACCGGCGCCUCCUUUUUAUAUUACAUUCACCUCUGCUUUUUCAUUCUAUUAAGCAUAUAAUUGUAUAUAGUUAUUUAGUAUAUACAGCUGUAAUUAUGUUUAGUAUAAAUACUCUUUGUACAGUACAUUUUCAGAUUAAUGAGAAAUCAUCCUUUCCUUUAUCUCUUAAUCUAAUAUGGUAUCAUCCUUCUCUUCAUCUCUUAUUUGCAAUCUCUCUGUUCCUGAGUCUAGUUCUCUUUGGCAUUUAAGGCUUGGUCAUCCAUCUUUCCCUAAGAUUCAAGUUUUAGCUGAAGAUCUCUCUAUUUCUAAAGCAAUGCUCAAAGAUUGGUCCCAUUGCAAGACUUGUCAUUUAGCUAAACAAAAACGUUUAUCUUUUCCUUCUCUUAAUAAUCUUUCUCAGAAACCUUUUGAUCUUGUUCACAUGGAUGUUUGGGGUCCUUUCUCUGUUAUUUCUCAUGAAGGUUUUCGAUAUUUUCUUACUCUUGUCGAUGAUUGUACUCGUGUCACUUGGAUUUAUCUCUUGAAAAAUAAAAAUGAUGUUUUACAAGUAUUUCCUUUUUUUCUCAAUUCUAUUGAAACACAACAUGCUACUAAAGUAAAGGCUAUUCGUUCUGAUAAUGCUCCUGAAUUAUCUUUUACAUCACUUCUUCAAUCUAAAGGCAUCUUUCACUACUUUUCUUGUGUUGAUACACCACAACAAAAUUCUGUGGUAGAAAGAAAACAUCAACAUAUUCUAAAUGUUGCUAGAGCACUUCUUUUUCAAUCAAAUCUUCCUCCUACAUAUUGGAGUGAAUGUAUAAGAACUUCUGUCUAUCUCAUUAACAGAACUCCUUCUCCUUUAUUACAAAACAAAACUCCUUAUGAUCUUCUCAUGAACAAAAAGCCUAAAUACUCUCAUUUAAAAAAUUUUGGUUGCCUUUGUUAUGCCUCUACUUAUCCAAAGGAUAGAAACAAAUUCUCUCCUCGAGCAGAAGCUUCUGUUUUUAUUGGCUAUCCCUCUGGUUACAAGGGCUAUAAAGUCCUCAAUCUUGAAACUCACUCAAUCUCUAUUUCCAGAAAUGUCAUUUUUCAUGAAGACAUAUAUCCUUUUCAGUCUUCUGAGCUUCCUUCUUCUACUUUAGAUCUUUUCUCCCCAAGCAUUCUUCCUCUUCCUAUCCCAGAUACAUCUCUUUCACCUCCUAUUUCCAUUUCUUCUGAAGUUUUAUCAAAUAGUAGUGGUUCUUCAGGGGAGUCAGAGAAUACUAUUCCUGUUAAUGCAAACAGGCCUAAGAGAAACACUCGUGUGCCAUCAUACCUUUCGGAUUAUCACUGCAAUUUGGUUCAGAAUAUACCAACUCCCAGUGGUAAUACAGCCCAUCCUUUGUCAUCUGUUAUUGACUACUCAAAACUGAAUCUGCACUAUCAGCAGUUUAUACUGAACAUUUCAACAGAGUCAGAACCAAAGACUUUUCUUGAAGCUGUCAGAUCUGAAAAAUGGCAUGCACCUAUGAAUGAAGAACUUCAGACUUGUGUUGAUACAGGCACUUUCUCUGUUGUCUCUUUACCUGAAGGGAAACAGCCUAUAGGUUGCAGAUGGGUAUAUCGCAUUAAGCAUAAUGCUGAUGGAACAGUUGACAGAUACAGAGCCCGUUUGGUAGCAAAAGGUUUCACACAGCAAGAGGGUGUGGAUUAUAUUGACACUUUUUCUCAAGUCGCUAAGCUUGUUACUGUCAAGUUACUACUGGACUUAGCUGCUAAACAUGGUUGGUCUCUGACUCAAAUGGAUGUUACCAACGCUUUUUUACAUGGAGAUUUAGAAGAAGAGAUAUAUAUGGACUUGCCUCCGGGUUAUACUCCACCACCAGGUCAAGUACUUCCUCCAAAUGCUGUCUGGAAACUUCAUAAAUCUCUGUAUGGCCUCAAGCAGGCUUCUAGGCAAUGGAACAAGAAAUUCUCUGAAGUACUGUUGAGAGAUGGCUUUGUUCAAUCAGAGUCUGAACAUACCUUGUUUGUCAAAUGUGUCAACAAUACUUUUAUUGCUUUAUUAGUAUAUGUUGAUGACAUUUUGAUUGCAAGUAAUAGUGACAUGGCUGUAUCUGAUCUCAAGGCCAUUUUAGCUGCUUCUUUCAAAAUCAAGGACCUAGGUCCUGCCAAGUACUUUCUUGGUCUUGAGAUAGCACGAAAUCAGUCAGGGAUCUCUGUGUGUCAACGUAAAUACGCUCUUGACUUGUUGGAUAGUGUUGGUCUUCUUGGCAGUAAACCAGUUGCUACACCAAUGGAUUCAACGAUUCAGUUAACUACAGAGAGUGGGGAUCUAUUACCUGAUGCUACUGUUUAUCGAGCUCUCAUUGGUAAACUUCUAUAUCUUACUAUAACCAGGGCUGAUAUUAGUUUUGCAGUUCACAAAUUGAGCCAGUUUUUGGCUCAACCAAGGACUGAUCAUCUUGCUGCAGCUCACCGUAUAGUCAGAUAUUUAAAAGGUGAUCCAGGCCGAGGUCUUUUCUACUCUGUUCAGUCUGAGAUCAGGCUGCAGGCUUUCUCAGAUUCUGAUUGGGGCACAUGUCAAGACACCAGAAGAUCUACUACAGGUUACUGUGUUUUUCUUGGCAAUUCUUUGAUCUCCUGGAAAGCCAAAAAACAACAAACUGCUUCCAGAAGUAGUGCUGAAGCUGAAUACAGGGCCUUAGCAGACACAACUUGUGAACUUCUUUGGUUAAGCCAACUUCUCAGAGAUCUUCACAUCAAGGUUACUGGUCCUGCAAACCUUUACUGUGACAGCACUGCAGCGAUACAUAUUGCUUCAAACUCAGUCUUUCAUGAACGCACCAAGCACAUAGAAAUAGAUUGCCACAUUGUUCGUGAUCGGUUGCGAGCUGGUUUUCUGAACUUGCUCCAUGUGACUACAGAUAAUCAGCUUGCCGAUUUGUUCACAAAAGCUUUGCCUCCAAAGACAUUCAAGAUGCUCAUGUCUCGUUAUGCUUUCUCAAGUCUCUUUCUUCCGGCUUGAAGACUUCGACUUGAGGGGGGGGUAUUAAGCAUAUAAUUGUAUAUAGUUAUUUAGUAUAUACAGCUGUAAUUAUGUUUAGUAUAAAUACUAUUUGUACAGUACAUUUUCAGAUUAAUGAGAAAUCAUCCUUUCCUUUAUCUCUUAAUCUAAUACAUUCUCAGAUUGAUUUGUCAAAAGUUCUCGGUAAUGUAUCUUUCGUAAAAAAUCUGCCUGUUGAGGCUAGUUCUCACCCUGCAAUUAUUGAUCAGGAUAAGGAAAAUAUUUACAGGGAGAAACCAAAGCUGGGGACACAAGCUGACAAGCCAGCUGUUGGCCAUUUGGUGUUGUUAUUAGGAGACUCAAGCAAAGCUGCAGGGAAAAAAGCUGUGGUUAUGAGUGUUGAUAACGAGAAUGGUAAGGUGUCUGAGGCUGAGCCUGAUUCGUCAGACGUUGUUUCAAGUGAGGAAGGUGAGAUAUCUGAGGAUGACAUCUUAUCCGAGGAAGAGCAUGAAUACUUGGAAGUAGUUUCAAAGAGAAAUCGGCGAAACUCCAGGGGCUAUGGCCCUAAAACCCAGUAAUGUCUAUGUAUAGAGACAUCUUUUGUUGGAAUGUCCGCGGAUUCAAUAAGCAAUCACACCGGAGCGGAUUUAAAAAAUGGUGUUACGGUAAUAGACCUAUUUUUGGUAGUCUCAUUGAGACACAAGUCAAGCAGGCAAAGAUUGCUAAGUUUGUUAACUCUCUUCUUCCUGGCUGGCAUUUUGAAGAAAACUACUCUUUUUCUGAAUUGGGCAAGAUUUGGAUCCUUUGGCACCCGAGUGUAAAGGUGGCUGUUAUUAGUAAAUCUCUUCAAAUGAUUUACUAUGAAUAUUUAGGAUCAGGAUACCUAUGAAUAUUCCACAAGAGUCUUGGAUUAUCUUUAUAUAAAUUCGUCAUUAUCUUUAUAAAAUAAAGUAAAAGUUUUUUUUCUCCUAAAGAUAACACAACAAAGAUAUAUACGGUAUUUUCACAUAUGUCACAAGAUAGAUUUUGUAUCCUCUUUCGUGUUUCGAUAUAUCUUCAUAACACAAUACUAAAGAAGAUUUGCAUAUUGAUGGGAUGAACUUAAAGGAUUCUCGGAGAUCGUUAUGCGUAUCGGCUUGGAGAAUCGAAGUAAGGGUGCUCGAAUGAUAUAAGAUUUAUCGAUCAAAGACAAGUCAUACGUUGUGACUAGAUGAUGAAGAAAUAUAGCCAUCCCAAGCCUAGCAAACUCUGCUCCUGCACAUAGUCUUGCACCACCACCAAACGCCAUGAACGUUUUAGAGCCACAAAGCAAUUCCUUCCCCUCCCAUCUCCAUGGAUUAAACUCACAUGGUUGUUCAUAGAUUUGAGGGUCAUAAUGAAGAAGAGAUGGAACAACCAAUACAAUCCAUCCUGCUGGAAUUGUAUACCCUGCAACCACAAGACGAUUUUCAUUGGUAACAAACUUAUAGUUAUUUUCAUGACGCAAAAGAGAGACUCAAACUUGCCUUUGAUCUCCACAUCACUCACCACCUUUCUAAACAUAGCAGGUGACAAACUUCCUAAACGAAGAGACUCAUUGAUAACCUGCAAUCGCAACAAUCAACCUAGUGGUUUUAAUUACUGAUCGAUGCGCAACAAGUUUGAAUUUCAUGUAUUUAACAAUUACAUAAUAAGAAAACAAAAAGUUUACCAUAUGGGUGAAAGUCAUCAUGGAUCUGUAUUCUUUCCAAGUAACUCCAGACUCUUUAUCACCUCUAUUUUGGAGGAUGGUCUCAUGCUCUCUCUGUUUUAACAUAAAUUAGCUUAAGCAUUCUCAUUUUAAAGAACAAAAGAUUCAAAAUUCUCAACUACUUCUUCACUAAAGAGUUCUCUCUAAGCAAGUUACCUUCAGCUCCAUAAGCACUUUGGGGUUUUCAGCUAUGAAUUUCACAGUUAGUGCAGUCAUUGUAGAAGUAGUUUCAUAAGACGCAAUCAGUAAACUUAGUAUUAGCUCUACAGAUCUUUCCUCGUUCACCGUAUCGCCUUCUUUCUCCACCUCAUAUAUCAUCGUCUCCAUGAAGUCUCCAUAUUUUAAUUCAUCCCAUGUUCCUUCUUCUCUCCUCUCUUUGAACAUUCUUUUUAUCAUCUUCAUCACAUUUCUGCGUGCCUUUACAUUGGAAAGUGGAUGCAGGGUGUUAAUAACCAGAAAAAAUCCUUGAGCUGACGAGUUAUGGACAGAGAUCUUACCUUAAGUCCAUUGUAAAGAGCGUUCCAAAAAGAAGGAUCAAAAGGGGACAUAACCAAGUCGAAGCUGAAAUCUCUAAAGCUUUCUAUCAGUUUGAUCUUAGUCUCAGGUUUGAUGUUACUUAUGAUCAUCUGGAUCAUUUGUUCCAAUAUCAACUGCAAUACAACAAAAAGUAAACCUCAUCAAAACAGAAAAGUGAGUAAGGUAGACAUUUGAUUGCUUAAACUAGAUGGACUUAGGGCUUAUUAUACUCUUCCACUAGUGUCUUUGACGUCUAAAACGCCUUGGAAGGAGACAGAUUUGAGAUGCUCGCGUGUAGCUAUGUCGAUUUGUUGUAUAAAUCUCUGCUUCAAACGUUCAGGGCCAAGAAGCUGCAGAGCAAUCUGUCUCAUGUACCUGUGGAAGUCCUUUCCUUGCUUGAAGAACAAGUUAUCUUUCCCAAAGAUUCUAACAAGAGCUUCUGGAUAGCUCAUGAUGAAACCCCUGUUGUCUUGUUUGAGAAUCUCAAAGUUCACUUCCGGGUCUGUCGAAACAAUCGUUUUAGAGCCAAGGAUACUCGUCCGGAACAACGAACCACCGUGCCUGAAGCAAAAACCAGAGAGAUACAUUAGAGAAGAAAGAAGAGAAAUGAGGCAGAAUCUUGAAACCUGCAGAUUUAAUAAAAACCAACUUGAACAUUCUUUUCUUGACAAAUGGAUGGAUUUCGUCGAAACUGUAAGGUUUGAAGAACUCAAUGGUUUCUCCGAUCACCGGAAACCCCAUUGAACCCGGAGGUAGCUUGCCGGAGCAGUUAGGGUUAGCCCAUCUAUAGAGCCAGAGACUGAUCUUGACGACCACUAAAGCUAUAACAACACUCAGUGCAACACCCCACAUUUCUUUCUUAAUAUCUUAACUAAUGAUUGGUAACCACCCUAUAUUGUUCGUAUGUAUAAAUAGCUUCAUAUUUUGAGGAAGCAACAUGCAAAAAAACCAAAUCUUACAAUACAAAUAAGUAAAAGAAAUACAUAACUUCAACUAUAAAGUUUUUAUUUACUUUGUGUUUGCUUUGAUAUUUGUAUAUAAAUUUUAAUCCAAGUUAGUUGGCCAACUAUGAGAGCUUGACGACCACCAAAGCUAUAACAACACACAAUGUAACAGCUCACAUUUCUUGUGCAAUUAUUAAUUAGCUAUUAGUAAACACUGAUUUUGUUCACAAGUAUAGCUUCAGAGUUUGAAGAAGCAAUUUGCAAGAAAGCCAAGUGUUACAAGUUAUAAUACUUUUAACAUAUUUAAAUUAAUAACACUAGCUAUAAAAUUGUGUACAAUUGGUAUCUCCUACUUUUGAUGCUUGUCAUAUUUUUUUUGUAGAUAAUAUCUCACAGACAGACAUAUAAGUCAAGGAGCGUUUUCCUUGUUUGGACCAAUUGGGUCCUUUCAGUCCAACCUCAUAAACUCAAUCUAGACAGAAAGGUAGAUGUGUUAAACCAAAAUGCUUACAUCAAAAGAGAGUGCUCUUAAAAUGUUACAUAUAAAAUGAAAAGGAAUCAAUCAAUGGCAUUAGAGGUAGGCAGAAAACAUAAUUUUCCCGCCAAAAACGUAAAUUAAUAAUUUUUCCGCCAUAAAUUGUGACUUCGAAAAUUUUCUGUCAAAAAUGUGAAUUUGCAAUUUUUCUGUCAAAAACGAGAAUCUCCAAUUUUUACGCCAAAAAUUGUGAAUCCACAAAUUUUCUACCAAAAAUAUGAAUCUGCAAUUUUCCCGUAAAAAAUGUUAUUUCACAUUCUUCCCGCCAAAUGAUGGUGAUGAUGAUGAUGAUGAUGAUGAUGAUGAUGAUGAAUGUUUAUUUUUUAUGGUAAUUAUUAAUUAAUUUAUCACUUUAAUGGAUUAUUCCAUUUAACCAUUUAAUCCAUCAAAUUAAAUGAGUUCAUGAGUUGACCUUAUUCAUUAAACAAAUAAGUUCGGUCAAUUCAUGAACUCAUUUAACUCUAAAAUCAUUGGAUAAUGAGUUGAGUUUAGUUGGGUUAUCUAUUUGACACCCCUACUAUUAAUAAAACAGUUGAGGAAAAGAAUAUUAAAAACGAAACUCUUCUCUCUAUGUUCUUCAUUUCAUUUUGAAACAUAAACUAAACAGAAAGAAAAAAAGCUCUCGGGAGUGGAGAAAAAUGGAGAAGCGCGAAUGGUAAGAUUUCUCACAAUCUUUUGAGUUUUCAUAAUCUGUGCAGUUGAGUUUGAGCUGAAUUCAGAUUGAGUUUGAACUGGAUUCAUAUAGAGUUUGAUUUUGAUAUAAAGAUGAUUAUACUAGUGUUUAAAAACUUCUCUGAAUCUCUUGUUUAUUAUCAUGUCGAGAUCUGAUUUUGACCUAGUUCAAUUUUGAGGUUAAUUUCGAGUUUAAUUUGAUUCUGAGUCUAAGUGCUGUAUCAAAUGAUAAAUCGAGAUUGAUUGCAAAUUUGAAUGUUAAUUUUGAGGUUGAUAGCGAGUUCAAAGUUAAUUUUGAAGUUGAUUACGAGUUUGAGUGCCAACGAGAGUCCAAAUUUCUGAGAAUUUUUGAAGAAUUUGUAGAUCUACAUGAUUUCUUAAUUUCAUCACUGAUAUUGAUGGAGAUCAAGUUUGAUUUGGAUGUGUAGAUAAUCAGUGUUUGUAUUUGUGUCGAAUCUUUAUUUUGUGUGGUUUGAGAGGUUGAAUGACAAAUCUGUUGCUUACGUACGUUUGAUUUUUGUAGAACCCAAUUAUGUGAAGAGGAAUAAGAAACGCAAAUCCUAUGGUAAAGCUGCUAAACUUUAGUUGUUUAUAGAAUAUUAAAACCGAGUUUCAUUCUUUUGAACUUGUUUACUUGUCAUAAAAUUUUAUAUCAAAUUUACUCCAAAGACGAGAAAUGCAAGCAGAAAGGCGCAAAGGAAUGGUCAGAGGGGUUAGAUGAAUGAUGAAGCAGAACAUAUAAGUCUUCCUGCACAGAGAACUGGUGAAAAUAGUUAGAAGUGUUUCUUAUUGAUAAUUCUGAAACAAAUUUAUAGAGGUUUCAAUUGGUAACUAUUAAAAGAACAAAAAAAUGAAUAAAAAAAAACAAUGCGGGAUAGAACAAAGGGAAUUUGGUCAACUCUACCACAUUUGACCAAAAUCUUUCCACUUCUACCACAUUUGAUAAUCUUCCACUCAUACCACAUUCAUGUGGUAUUGUGGUAUAAAAAAUACAGUUUUGCCCUCAGCUGAUGUGGCAGAUAAAGUGCAAUAAACCUAUUCGGUGAUAAAAAUCAAAUGAAAUAUAAACAUCAAACAAAAUGAAAAGACCGCAAUUAGAAUUUACGAGAAACAAAAUCGAAGAACAAUGAAUUAAAAUCGAUGGACAAAAACCAGCUAACAUGCAAAAAUAAGAUGAAAUUGUGGAAGGCUCAAACUUCAGGGACAACUGUAUGUAAACUUCCUUUUGUGUACUCAAACAAUGAAUUUUGUUUCCGAAAUUUGAGCACACAAAAUAAGGGUAAAAUGGUCAUUACACACGACAAUUGUGGUAGAAGGUUCAAUAAAUCUUUUUACUGUUAUCUAAUUCCAAAAUAACAACAUAUGGAACAAAAAGUAAUUAAUUAAGGGUUUAGCAUGACACACAUCACCAAACUUCUGCAGAUUAACCCAAAUAUUUUGACCAGUAGAUUAAUAACCAACAAAAUGAUUAAUCUACCAAAUCUUACUAAAGUAACAAGGCUUUUAUUUGACCCCCUUGAGAAUGUCAACGACGUAGCUAUCCUGUCCUCCAAUUAUUCUAGAUUGGCAAUACUGUUUCCAAAUAAUACAUUUUACACCUGCAAAGCCUGAUGUAACACAAAGAUGAAUCAUAAUAAAGCAUAAAUCAUCAAUGAGCUCCAUAAAUAAAUUAAACAGACACAUAGCUCUGCAAAUUGACAAUUUUUUGUGCUUAGAUAUGGAGUUGAUGCUCAAAACACCUACAUAUUUUUGAGCAUCAAAUACAUUAAUUAGAUAUAAAGGUGAAUUAUAAAACACAAAUUAUCCAUUACACAUUGCUCCGUAGCUUGACCAUCUUUUGCCCUUUGGUAGUUAAUAGGAAUGUGAAACUAGUAAUGUUAUUAUGUUAAUAUGGUCUUUAAGCCCGCAGGCCUAAACAUGCUUUAUACACUAUGUGAAACUAUAUAUAUAUAUAUGCUGAUAUGCACAUCUCUUUGAUAUUCUCGAAGAAGCUAUCUCAUCUUUCUAUUACCACAGAAAGUCAAUCAAGUCUCUCACACAAUUCAUAUUACCACAGAAGCUAAACAACCGACGUCGUUUGUCAAAAAAAGGAAGCAUAAAAUAAAAGUAAUAUUUAAUAAACCCUAGAUGCAUCAUGCAUGCUCGAUUUCGUACACACCAAGAUUGCGCUACUCUUGUAAUUAUAAGUUAAUAAAGGAUUCAAAAAAAUAAGUAACUUUCUCAUAAUUGAGUUUAAUUAUUUUUUCCAUUCUAAUAUGAAUUUAAUUACAUAACACAUUUUUUUGUCAUGUUCAUAUUGUUUAUCUAACCAAAAAAAAACAAAUCACAAUUACAGUAGAUAUACCAAUGUUAUUUCUGAUAAACUCAUGAUUCAUAAUUAGAAAUUAGUUAUUUUUAUAAUUUAAACAUUGAAAUAAAACAAAAUAAAACUUGAAAGACUUAUAAGAUUCUUUAUUUAAUUUUCGUAAAAUAUUUUACCUCUACUUCGUUAUAAUGCAGGUUUUUGUUUUGAAACUUUUAAAAAUGUUUCAUGUUUAUGUUCUUAAUUGUGUUCAAUAGUUGGUGUUUUAUGUAGUUAUAGAUUAUUAAUUUAGUACUGGACGUUUUUUUAUUAUUAGUUUACAGUACGUUGUAAACUAAAUUUCUAUAGUAUUUCACACUUAGUUUACCAACUAAAAAGUUAUAAACCUCUUUUGUAAUUUAGUUUUGGAGAAACCUAGCUUUUUAGGUUUAGGAGUUGGAUGCAUUUAAACUUAAUCUGCCGUUCUUCCAUUGUGUUUUUAGCAACAAAAUCCAAAAAUCAAAAACCCAAAAAAAAAAAAAAAACAAAUAGAAAAAAACCAGAGUCAUAACAAGGAUUGGAAAUGAAAACACUACACCUCUUCUAAAUCGAUACUUGUCUAAUUUCCUUCAGCGAUCAAAGAGUUAACCUCAUGGAAAAACCUUGUCUUUAGCCACAAAUAUUCAGAUUCUUUUUCUUUGAGCAACUUGAACUUCUCUUCGAGCUCCUUCUUCAUCUUCAUCGAUACCAUGCUCCAUCUCUGUUUCACGACAUCUUCAGCCACCCCAAAGCUCGCAAUUGAUCCUACAAGAGAAGAAUUUACGAACCAAUCUAAUACCUUUUCUUCAUUGGGUUUCAAAGACUCCUCCUUCACCUUAGUAGAUUCCCAAAUCAAUUUGGAAAGUUGAAAACAUUUCAGGUCGUGAGCCUUUGCAAAAGAUUUCUCAUCUGCACCCUUGUUCCUCUUUCGGAGAUACUUGUCCUUUAAGCGACGGAUCUUGGUAGUGAAUUGACUCUGAUUCGCUUGAAAGCUAAUGAUGUUCUUCACCGUAUCAAUAAAAGCAGUCAUAUCAUCAUAAGGACUCUUCCCUUUAUCAUUCUUGAAAUCGAUCAUGCCUUGCAGCAAGACGAUCUCAUCAUCUUCACUCCACUUCCUUUGAAAAUAAUUCUUUUUGGUAGGAGGAUAAUUCUUACCAGGAUCUUUUUGCUCUUCUUCCUCAGACGAAGAACCUGCCUCCUUACCUUCUUCCUCAGACGAAGAGCCUGACUCAUGUCCUUCUUCCUCCGUCGCCAUUUCCUCGUCGUCGCCUGAAGAUUCUGUCGUCAGUGGAUUUUCCAACGGAGGACUCCUCUUCUUCGUCGGUGGUUCUUCCAACAGACACCUCUUCACCGUCGAUGGAUCUUCCUCCGGUUUGAGACGCUUGCUCUUAGGUUUGGAAAGCUUGUUCUCCGGUUGUGAACGCUUCUUGUUCUUCUUGGCCAUGUGACUUUUGAGAGAGCGGGAGACGAAAAGCUUUGUUAUUCCUUUCAUUUUUUUUUUUUGUCAAAGAUAAAAAGAGUUAAGUGUUGUAAUGAGAUAAUAAAGAUAUUCUAUUUAUUGUGUUGUUGGACUCGUCACUCGCCGCUUAGUAUCUAGGGUUAGGUAAUUGUCGCAACAACUUCCAAGAAGAAGGGCUAAAAGGAGACCUCUUGAUAACCUCGAAACUGAUAGUUGUCAAGUUGAGUAUAAGCUUUCUCUUAGUCUCAUCAUUGAUGUCACUAAUGAUCACUGUCCCAAUAUCAACUGCAAUCGAACAGAAAGAAACAACCAUAUUAUAAAAUAAAAUUAAAAACAGAGAAGUUGUGUCGGAUCUUGGUUGCUUCUUGACCAAGUCAGGGUUCGUUAUACUCUUGCAGCAGUAUCCUUCACUUCUAAGACGUCCUGAGAGGAGUGUGUUUUGAGAUGCUCGUGUGUCGCUAUAUUGAUUUCGUUCAUAAAUCUCCCCUUCAGACACUCGGGACCAAGAAGCUGCAGAGCAAUGUGUCUGAUGUAUUUGUAGAACUCCAUGACUUGCUGUAAGAACAAGCUAUCUUUCCCCAAGAUUAAAGAGAUGUUUGAAACAUAAGGCCAAGUAUAAUCAUUUCUCAUCUCUCACUUCCAGUCAUCCACCAACAUUAAAAGAAAGCUUCAAUUUCCCAGUAAAAUAACCAAUCGAAAUCUAUCCUUUAGAAUGAGGAAAGGAAAAAUUGCAAACGUAGAUUUUGAAAAAGGAUAAAGACCUUACAGACAAUUACAACAAUGACAACCUUAUGGCUUGUAUGUUUAUAAUGUAUGCUUUUACAUUCAUAUGAACAUCGAAUUUCAAUUUCGCUUAAAUGCUGGUGUUCUGGAUGGUCUGAUUCAGAGAAGUUCCACGUUUGUUCAGCUUCGUCAAGAGGUAAGCCAAUGCGACUUUAGCACCUAAGGCGGAGUGACCACGGGACAAACAGAUCGCACCGCCCACAAGUACUAGACCUUUUGCUAUCAGUUUCUUUGAUGGCUUUCUCAAUUUUUUCUUCUGUUUGGCUACAACAUGACUUAACAGUCCUUCACCACUACUUGUUCCAAUGGAGGCUGUGACAUUAUCUGUCUGAGUUUCUAACUCUGAUGGAACCUGGAGAUACACCAACCAUGUCAGUGAAGACUCAACCGGUUGCUUUAUGCAUAUUCGGUUUCAGGACACUAAAUUCCAUAUUACAGAACAGAUUUUUUAUAUGAAUCUCACCUUUUUCAUUAAGGUGACAGCAGAUAAAAUGGGUCCUUGGGUUCUAUGACUGGUUGCUAUGUAUUUACAAAGAGCGUUUUCCAUCUUACAAACGUAACUCCAUAUGCCUUUUGAGAAGGCGAGCUUCGCCAUCUCAACAUUUAACCCAGCAUUCUCCUGGUGAAACAUUUUGAUCUCACAAGCAUUUCGACCGGGAACUGUAGCAGCAAGUGUAAAGGUUAGCAGUUAGAUAAGUAUCAAAGGUAGAAAGAAUGCUGACAACAGUAACAGAAAAAGAAACUAAGGACCGUGUUCACCAUGAUCAAUCAAUAUCUGAUUAUAUGGUAUUCAAACAACACUGACUAAACCUUUAGGUGAAUAUAAUUGAUAAGCAAACCACUUGCCUUGCCUGAUUCUCCAACCAGAUCUAAAAUAGCUUACACGUACGUAAUUCCUCUGUCGCGGUACCAUAUUGUGAUCACAUUCCUAAUAAUAACCAAAGAGCAACACAAUAAGUAAAGAAGCAACAACAAAUUGUGACAGAGAGAGAGAGAAGUUUCAGUUGAUUUUGACCUUUGUGAAACAGUAAAACUUGCCCUUUCCUUGCCACAAUCUCCAAGCUAGUACGUACUCUCUUGAUGUCAACAAGGGAAACUUUUUGAUUGUGCGACCAAUCUCAAUUCCGGUACUACUGUCAACCUGCAACUGCUCAUGCUCAACAACAGUCUUAUCCCAUAGUUUCCUAUAAUCAUUGUCCAUGUAAAAAUCCCUCACAAUCUCUGCAGAGCAAUCCUCGAAGACCGUAACACUUAGGUACUUCAUAGGACCACCACCAUCCUAAAAAUAGAGCCAAAGGCUUAUAAUACUCAGUAAUCAGAAUAAUAGACUAAAAAGACAAACUUUGAAAACGAUUUAAAAGUAAGUACUUUGGGUUUGCAGCGUUUAGCAGUGUAUGAAAUGCGAUGGUUGCUUUUGUGAAUAACAUUUUCCCAUAUCUCCGUAGAAUCAUUUGUUUCCUCCAAAUUCUCGAUCAGAAAUUUCAAAUCUUCAUCAGAGACUAGUUUGGAUAUCCUGCAAAACGUAUAGAGGAAUCUUCAAAGUUUAAACAUUUGAAAAGCAAAAGAAGCAGUUUUUUCAUUAGCCCAAGUGAGUAAUCAAAGACUUAAUUGAGAAAAAUCAAACCUUUUUGUUACCUUGAUUGAGAGUUUAUGGCAUGAGAAACUGAUUCGGUAGGUGAAGGAGAAGAAGAAGAAGAAGUGAAGAAGCGAAAUUUAGAGGAAAAGAAGAUAUGAAAGAGAAGGAUUAAGAGAAGCGAAAUCGCGGUGGCCCAUAAAUAAGAAUCAGAAAGAGCUCGCCGGGAAAGUUCUUCGGAGAAGAAAGACAAAGCCCAGUUCUUCAUCGAAUUCCAAAAUCCCUACACGAUAUGCAAUUCAUUCAUUCAUCGUGGCGUGUGUUUUGUUCCAGUUGCACAAGGCAACGGAUUCUGGACUCUGCUUUUUCUCUUUAUUUUAUGGUUUCGCCCCCAAGUUUUGAUUUUCCUUCUUUUUGACCCCUUUGUUUUUUUUUCUUACAGUUUUUUUCCUCUUUGUUCUCAAUCAAUCAAUGGGUGUUAUAUAGAAGAAAAAAAGCAUGACCAACUAAUGAAAUUGAAAGAACCUGUCGUUUUAAUUCAAGUAUUAUUUUACAUGGAAGAAAUGAAGUGUCAGAGAAUCUCCUGAUUCAGUAAUGGAUAAGGGCCAUAAGGCAACGAUUGACUCUAUUGAUUCUGUGACAAUCACAAUCACACAGGACUUGUUCUAAUAGCAAAUAUGUGGAGAAACCCACAAAAAGACAAAUAUAAUGAUACCCGCUAGAGACUGACUAAAAUGAUUAAUGAAUGACUAAGGAGGGUACACUACUACCAAUACCUGAUCCACUUUGAUAUAUGGCCAGUAAUAAACCAAACUCUCAAUUUCCUCUUUUAAGUGAUACCCCCAAAAUCUAACAAAAAUGUAUUAUAUUUGAAAUCUAUCCAACUUCAUUAUUCAAGAGUUGCUUGCAUCAAAUGUAUCGGCUAUUGGAAAUUCACCUAGGAAACCAAUUGAAUUACCUUGCUAAAUUCCAGACGGUUUUGGUUUGAGUCGGUUCAGAGUGGAUAUUUCUGCCUUGAACCGGUGGGCUUAAUUAUCUUCUUUGUUUAUUGAUUUGAGCCGCUUUCAGACCUCCGGGGAUGAUUAUCAGGCCCAUGGUAUAUAUUGGGCCUGUGGUUUAUAUUCAAUGAUCAGGCCCAUGGUAAUUCAAGCAAUUGACACUGUAGUAUAUGAACAAACCUGUGACAUACAUAAACAUAACAAAGCUGGUCAGUUUUAUGCGGACAAAAAAUUUGCCAAAUAAAACGGAAUUAGUCUAGUCGACAUCUAAAUUAAUAUUAUCAUAGGGAGACAUUCCACCACUUGGACCUCCUUUAAAAUAUUUAACUUUUAUGGAAGGAAAUGGAAUGGUCAAUGAUACGUUGAUACUCUCAGUACAUAAUAAUGUAAUCAAGUGGAUAAAGGUAUAAUCAAAAUAAUGCAUCCAAAUCAAAACAUAGGAGCAUUUGGAGUUGCAGUUUCUGUCUGAUGAGUUUGAGUUGGCCAUCACAGACCGUGCUGAAACCCCAAGGCUUGAUGUGAGUUUAGUUAUUUUCCAUCAAUAAAGAUUAAAGAGUUUGCUGGUUUCUCUCCUUAACUUGUUAACUUGUUGGUUUGGUUGCAGGAGAUCUACCAAGUGAAUCAUGGACAAAACUGUGUUUCUGUUACCACAGAGCCUUCUCCAGGAUCAGCAGUUAACCACAAACCAAGAAUGAGAUGGAUUCCUUAGCUCCAUAAGCAUUUUCUAGAGGCCGUGAACAAGCUUGAAGAGCCUGAAAGUGAGAGUUAUCUUUUUAUGUGAUUCCAACAACAAAUCUAUUAUUCAUGAUCACUCCGAUGUUUUUCUUCUUUUUGAAAGAGAUUUUUUUGCUGCAAAACGUUAAUCUAAGCAGGUUUUACUUUCACCAUAUGCAAAGGCAACUCCUAAGGCUGUUAUGAAGCCAAUGAAUGUUGAGAGUUUGACCAUCUAUCAAGUCAAAAGCCAUUUGCAGGUCCACUAACUCAACCAUUUGAAUCUGACAAAGAUUUUAACUACAUAAACUGAAUUAUCUUUGAAGCUGUCUUUUUCUUGCAGAAGUAUAGACUAGCCAAGUAUAUGCCAGAGAGAAAACAAGGUAACUUGUUCUCUCAUCUGCUUAUAGUUCAUUUAUGAUCAUCUGAGACAAUUUUAUCUAUUGAUUCAUUGUUGUUGUUGUUGUUUUUUUGCAGAGAAGAAAAAUGGUAACUCAGAAGAUAAGAAACCAGCUUCGAAUACCAAUGAAGCAGAUGGUAGAAAGAAAGGGUGCGUCUUGCUUAACUUUUGGACUGUGGGAUAUGUUUUCAAACAUUUUCCUUAAAAGACUCUAUCUCUUUCUUUCUUUUUUUUGUGCAGAGCCAUACAGUUAACAGAAGCUCUACGUAUGCAGAUGGAAGUACAGAAGCAAUUGCAUGAACAGCUUGAGGUAAAAUACACCACUUUAACAUUGGUGAAAAGGUUUCAUUCAAGAUUUGCUCUCAACCAAUUCAUGUACAUGUUACUGCUGAGUGAGUAGGUACAGAGGUCACUUCAACUACGGAUAGAGAACAUGCUAAAUACUUGGAGAAGAUCUUGGAAGAAGAGCGAAAAUCUCAUAAAACCGAUGCAUCUGAACCUAAAGAUGACAAAUGUGAAACUUCUCGAAAACGUCCUAGACUUGAAAACUGAACAUCCUUAUAGGUAAUAAGUAGUAAAACUUCAGGUCUAUUUUUGUGUACUUGUGUUUACUAUAUGAUCCAAUGAAAGAAGUAUAUUGCCAAAUUCCUAUAGUUAUUUACAAAAGAAUCAAUCAACAAAGAAGAUGGAAUUUUGCAGCCAAUACAAAGAAUAUGAAAGAGAUUUCAAAUUCAAAAAAAUCCACCGCAACCGACAUCUUAUAUUUGGCAAAUAUAUACCUUCCUAUGUACCUCCUCUAAUCUUUAACUUAUAGUUAGCUAUCUGCUGAAGAGACGAAAAAGCUCCUCCUUUUGCUUCUAGUCUUCCUUUAAUUCUAUGCAAUAGUCUACAAAUGAAUCUCUUCUUGUUUAAUCGCCUGUCAGAAACCAACUGAAUCCCAACCCUCCAUUGACCAGAUGAGUUAGCCAGUGCGGGUGGCUUCAGCGGCCCUUUCCCGCAUCAUCUCCAUUACAGCAGCUCUACGCCUUUUGUCCGACUGCUGCUGCUGCCUACUACUAAUCUCUCUGAAAUCUCUGUUAAAACGGAGAUGCAACACUUACGAGUUAGCUAUCUAUCUAUAUAUAAAAAGUUGUUUAAUCAGUGUAAAAGCAUGUGAAACUCUCUACGUACCUGCAUUUGGGGACAGUGCAUUGGGAAUCUCUACAGCUGCGGGCAUGGAGUCUGAGGAGAUUCCAAACUCUCUUACAAUGGGGGCAACGUCCAGGACCAGUCUUACAUGCUAUACAAUGUCUGAAGAAGGUCUUAAACUUACGACAACCUUGAUAUUGGCACAGUGUAGAGCGGCAUGCAGCUACAUGUACCAGCACUUCUUUUAACUGCAAAUAUCAACAAACCACCGAGCUUUAUUACUCUGUUUCUAGAAGCUACACACACAUAAACAAUCUCAAUAUAGGUAAUGGCGUAUUAGAAAAUACCUUCUCUAGCUGGACUUGAUAAUUUUGACUAGCUUGCCUGUUCUCUUGUACAACAGGACUCUCGGUAGAAGAUGAACGGUUUAUCAGGUUAUGUGAAUGGUUGAUAGACGCCUUCGAGUAACAGGCACUGCAGACAUCAUAGCCCGGACAAACUUCACAGUGCCAGCCUUGAGAGUUUUCAACUUCUUGUUGGCAGAUGGUGCAAAAUGUAGCAAAUGCAGGGGCAGUUGGGUUGUGAAGAUGAUAGAGAAUCAUCAUGGAAGAAUGUUUGGCCCACCUUAGAGUGUCGUACUGAUAGUUAUUUCCUUGGCAAAGAUUCAAGAAAGCUUGUCUGUUAUCAAAGAAUUCGCUCUCCAGGUUGUCAUCUGUGUCCUCAAUCUUGACGGGAACGUCUUUGAUGGCCACCUGCAAAGAUCCACACCUUGUCAGUUUCCAAGAUACAAAAAGGAGAGAAUGAAACUCUUAAAUCUCUAACCACCAUUAGAAACUUACGGGAAAUAGCGCGUGUUUCUCUUUCUGAUUAAUCGGAUGUCUCUCUAUAUUUAUGCGGUUCUGUUCCACUUCAUUACACCUAUGGUUGAAAGACGGUUGUUAAGUUGAAUGAUUUGAAGUAUUAUAUAGCCUGAGUAUGAUCAUAUGUAGCAGAGAUCUUACUUGUCACAGAUCUGAAAAUUCUUGCAAUGAUUGCAGACCCACCGGUUUCCAGAUACCAUGAGAGUGGUACAAUGCUUGCAGCAAUGUUGCAAAUGAACCAUUAUAAAAUCUUCCUUCAUCGGACAAAUGGUCUCACCGAGCUACAGAAAAACAGAACAAAUAAAUAAAAGCUAGUGGAAGCAAGAUCAUAAUAGUGGAAUAGAGAAAUGAGAAGUUACUUUUUGCAUCAUAAGUCGAUCCUUGGAGGCAUUAAGAGAAAGGUCCAACUGGCCAACGGCUUUUAGGGCUCUUUUCGAUAUGACCUUUUUGGUCAAUCCUUUUCUAUUUAACUUUGUCUCACCAUCAUCUUCUUGGUUCAUUUGGCGUAGUAAAUCCUCAGCAGCACUUGGCCAGUAGUCUCCAUCAAAAUAUGGCAACCUUGCAGCAGUUACAUUAGCUCUACAUUCACCAGACUGGACAAAAAAAUGAUUGUAGAGGUUUGUGCAUUCAACGACCACAUCUUCUUUUGAAGCUUUUCUUAACAUUGCCAAAUACCUGAAAAGGUAGGAAUGUGAUUAGUGCCAACAAAAUGUCCAUAACACUUGACAAACAAGUAAAAACAAAACAGUCGCGGUCUCAUACCAUUCCCUUAGUUUGUCAGUCUUUGGAGUCUUCUGGAUUUCAGGAUGACAAUAAAGAAUGUAAUCUUCACCCUUAAGUGGAGGACAUGCCCAUAUAUAGCAGCUUGUAAAACCACGUUUCUUACAAUAAUCGAGAUAACCAAUCUGCAAAUUCGUAACAAGUCCAUGAUGAUAAGUUUCGUGUACUCGUGAAGCAAAACACAAAACCUAAAGAAGAUGGGAUUAGAGAUAAAAUGGCUUACCAGAAUUUCAUGGUACACAAAGGUGCGAAGGGCUUCUCCAGACACAGUUCGAACCUCAGGUCUGAAAUACUUAACAGAGUCCAGAUAAGAAAGGUAUACCCGCCGCUCAUUGGGAGGUCCAGAGUCUGUCCCAAAUUCCUGGACGAACAUACCAAAUAAGCAUACUUCCACAUUUUCAAUCUUCUGAAACAGCAAAAUGGCCUGAAACAUAUAAAGAAAAUAUCUCUUUGAAGUGCCAAACAAGCAUCAUGAAAAUGAAUAAGAACCAAAACCAUGAACCAUUGUUACCUUGGAUUUAUAAGGGAACUCAGUUGGAUAAUUUUUUUCUCGGAAAAGCUCAAGGAAACGUUGCUUUACUUCUAAUACUUUAUCAACCGAUGCCACAACUCUGACAGUAAGUGAUUCAGCUCCAGGGACCUGAUAUAUCAAUAAUGAAGGUAGAUGGUUAUUAUAACUGUUUCUAGACAAAAUUUGCUCCAGGCUGUUCAAGUGAACCUAAAGCUCAUGUAUCGUAAAGGAACAAAAGCAUAAAACAGUUGACAGCCUUAAAGAGUUAGAGAUCACCUCCUCAUAAGUUUUUCCUUGAAGUCUAGCCCUCUCUUGUCUUUCCUCCCUCAACUUUUUGAAUAACCGCUCCUCUAGAUGGUUGCUAAGAGCAGUAACUGGUAAAUUUGUUGCCCCCGGAACAGCACUUAGUGGUAAUGGUCUUCUUUCUCUUUGUUCCACCUCUUGUAUAUAGCAAUUAGGGCAAGUGUACUUGGUGGUUUCUCCAUGAUUUCUUCGGCUGUUGAACAAAGCACAAAUUUGAUGCUGCCAUGCUUCACACUUAUCACAUUGCACCCACUGCAUAAAACCAUUGGUUUGGUUCAGACACAAAAAAAAAAAAAAAAAAAAAAAAAAACAAAGGAAGAAGCAAAUUUCAGAAAUCAUGAGGCAUACAUACCCCUUCCGGAACUUGUUCAUCAUUUUUCUUUUUCUCAAGCCUUGUUUUCGGUAUAGAAGUUCCAUCAAGAAAAACCAAGUUUUCACGCGCUUCAUUGUAGCAAGGUGCACAGACAUAAUGCCUUGACUCACCAGCCGCAAUACUAUAGUGCAAGGCAUUUUUCUUGAUGCGUAUACCACAAGGUGAGCAGUAGAGAGGUACUGGCUCAAAUACAAGCCACUCAACAGCACAUAACUGACAAGAAUUCACAGACAUGGAGCACCCCAUUGCUUUGUUUUUGUCUGCCUUGGUUUUACUCUGAAAAUAGAAUUACAAAGAAACAAAAAAAUUAGUAUCGUGCAUUCUUAGUUACUUUCAAAGAAACAAAAAACAGAACAAGGAUACAGAGUAGGAAAAAUUAGACCUUGUGAAAACCAAGAAAGGUUAAACAAGAAGUGAAGUUUUAAAAUCUGAAUGUUUACCUGUCCUACCCACUGACGAAGACUGCGGAUAUGCUCCUUUACUUGCUCAGGAGUAAACAAUUCAACAAGUGAGGAGAUUUCCAUCUUAGACGCAUCUACAACUUCCACAGACUGUUUCACAUUCUCUUCCUUUGGUGCACUCAUUUCAUUCAUACAUUUGGAUUUCCCUUGUGCCAAUAAGCAACUAGUUUUUUCAUCCAUAACAAAACCACCACAAUUAUUACCCUUGGGAGUAUCUUCAGCAACAUGUUUCACCAGCUCCCUGGUAACGGGAAUCUCAGAAGCAUCAGGAACAUCUAUGUCCAUAGGCAUAGCCUCAACUUUGAGGCUUUGCAAACCAUCUUUCUCUUGCAUAUUCAUUAAGGAAUGAGGUUUACAAACAACACCACAUCCUGUCACCGAAAUGCUCUUCGUCUCGGGAGUGAUAUUUUGGGAGGGUCGCUGUAAUUUUGGGCGCUUGAUUGAGCGUUGCAGAUCAGCAUCAACAGAUGGAGCUUCAGCACCUCCUUUUUUAUAUGCUUUCCUGGAUUUUGAGGAUUUCUUGGGUUGACAUUUCGAACUAGCUGAGCUACACUUAGCUCUACGGAGAGGUACAAUUGUGUAUUUAUUCUUUUCCAUGUAUUCUCUGACAGCUACACAGGUACGGCACGAUAUGCUUUUGCACUGCUUGAAAUGAUCUAACCACAUCCGAGUACCAAGACAAUAUCUAUAUUUGCAGUUAGGGACCUUGCAGCAGUCUAUAUGUUUCACUAUCUUUCUGGCUUGAAAGCAAAACUUGCUCGCACACUUAUCUUUCUUAGCCUUGCAAUGACGUGCAUGGAACAUAAACGGAAUCCACCGCAGAACGGUGUUCGAAGACGUUUGACCACAAUCUUCAUUAACCUGUUUACUUGAUGUAUCGUUUCCAUCCCGAGGACGUUUCCUCUCAACAGUAUUUCUAGGAGAAACAGUUUGACUGUUUAUAGGCGCUAUUGGAGAUGAGACACGAUGGACAGGUUCAGGCUGCAUAUGAGUAUGUUCUCUCUGUCCAUUAUUGUUUUGUAAUAUUUCAGUUGAGUUCUGUAGAGAUGUCUGCCUUUGAACCGGGAUUGAUUCCGACUGCUUUUGAUGAGGAUGUGGUUGCAAAGAUGGAGAAGAAUUCAUCUGACUACUGUGGACAGAUACACUUUGAGCACCAAUGUAAUGGUCUUGAACAGCAGUCUGUUGGCACUGCAACUUGGAUGGUUUGAAUCCAUUUUUAGUAGCAUGUUUCUGAAGAGCUUCUUCGUAGGAUUCCAAGCUUGGUACAUGCAUGACAGGAGCAGCUAAAGCCAUAGCUUGCUGAGUCAGAUUGGGAAGUAAAUGAUCUUGGUUCUGGAGUUGGCCAGGAUAAAGAUUUUGGGAGUGUUGUCCUCGGUGCUGGUGAGACCCAUGAUUUAAGAGUUGUUGACUGACCUGAGGCAAGUUUUCUCUGUUAUUGGGAGCAGAUUGGAAAUUAGUAUUCCAAAGCGGAUGAUGUAGUUGACGUUUUGGCAAUGGGGUUUGUUGCAUUGGUUGCAGGUUUGAGUGAUAACUUGUGACGGUAGCGUCAAGUCCCUGCAUAGGAUUGGGGUUCCAUGGAGUUGAAUUCUGAGAAACUGCCAUUGAGCUAGAUGACACAACAAUUCCACAGGGAUAGGGAUUACUUUGACCAAAAGAAGCAACGUUGCUCAUUGAGUAUCCUUCACAUGGGAGAAAGCAACUUGUAAGAAACAUACCAUUACAUGAAUUGCAUAACAGAAGAGUGAAAGCGAAAAGAGAUAUAUAGAUAGAUAGAGAUAGGGAGAGAGAUUACUAUGCAUGUGUGACUGAUCAGGUGGUACACAGUUGAGAAGUGUAGCAUUGAAGAGGUCUUGAGAAGUCAUGGGUAUAUUAGCAGAAACUGGUACACAGUUGCCGUUAAAUCCAGUAAUCAGAGGACUAGAGAUCCCACAAGUAAUUUGGUUCAUAUUUGGCCUAUUAACUUCAACCAUCUGGUGAUUAGCACCAGUAGAAUGGUGUGUGUGCAUGUCAGGCCCAAUAGAAAAUAAUCCUGCAGAUGAUAAGGUAUAGAGUCAAAAAGUAAAGAACAACAUGUCAGUCGUAUAUGUUGAAAAAGAAUCAGGAGAGAUCAAAGAUGUGUACGUACCUCCAGCUGCUGCAGUGGUGCAAUUAAUUGGCACAAGGCUUCUUCCGGAUUGGAAAGAGUUGUUACUAACGCUCGUGGAAGUAUGGACCGCGCGGGUAGGUGUAAUACAUUGAGCCCCUCCAUUAUUCAUGGCAGCACGCCGCUGAGAAAGGAUUGUUCCAAGCUGUUGCAACAUAGUUUGUACACGAGCGUCAAAAGUUGUUAAAUCGGAGUACUCAUCAAAUGAUCGGGAAGACUUGAGGAGUUUUUCCUCAAUCAUUCUUGUUGCGGCAAUACACUUUUGAUCCUGCUUCUCUAAGAUAGCAUCUUGCGUGGGCUGCUGAUUCUUCUUGUGUAGAAAGAUUUGAUGCUGCUGCUGCUGCUUGUGUUUUACGAUAGCAUAACUGGAGAAAUAAACAAUAUAUGAUGGUUAAUUGAGCAAAUUAAAGAUUAGAUCAUGGGAUGAGACAACAUAUGUAUAAUAAGGGCAAUAAAGAGAGAGCGAAGAUGAUUAUGUUACAUUCUAUUUCUUAAAGCAGUGCGUCUCGCAACAGCAACAGAGUUCUGAGGAACAUUAUUAUUCAUAUUUUUCUUUCAACAGAGCAUGUGACCAAAGCCUCCCCUAGCUAAGACAUUGUUGAUCGACAAAGGAUACAAAAGAAAACCUGAGCAAGCAAAAUUGAGUUCGCAAUUUUGAUUAAUUAGCCAAAAAAACAGUCAGCGAGAACGAACGAAGACGACCAAAGAAACAAAGGAUGGUCUUGGUCGGUGACGGGGAACAAUGGGAGGAAUAGGGAUUUGUCUUUUAUAUCCAAAAUUAAAUCAAUCAAGCCCUUUAUUUAUUUAUUUAGUUGACAAAAUCAAACUAGUUUGACUAGGAAAGUUAUGUUGUUAUAUUUUUUUUUUAAGACUUCAGGCCCAACCAACUAGUACAAAAAAAAAAAAAAAAAAGAGUUGAAAACUAAAUACAAUCGAAUUAUUAUUUAGUUGUUUGUGUGAGAGAUUGACAAAUAAAAGUGGGAAGGAGAAGAGCUUAAAGGUUUGUGUGAGAGACAUGGGCUUCUUUGGAGAGAGUUAUGAGAUCUUUUCACCAAGAUAGGUUUGGUUUUGGUUUUAUGUUUUAGAUAGUAAUAGAUCAAUAAAUAAUGAUUUUUUUCUGAACCUAUCAUUCUAAACAAAACUUGAGAGAUACAAACAAGAAACCACGCAAGACAGAUCAAACUCUUAAGCAAUAAAAAAAACGCACAUACAAAAAUGAAAGCAAAAUAAAGAUUUCUUCUUUGCCCAAGCUAGAUACCCAUUUCUUUAACAGUAAACUUAGGCCUGGGCAAAUAAACCGAACCGAAACCGAAGUUAAAAAAAUCGAACCGAACCUAACCGAAAGUUUAAAAAUAACCGAAUGGAUAGUAAAUUUAAUAACCGAAAUAACCGUAACCGAAUCGGUACCGAACCUAAAUAUUUCGGAUAACCGAAAUAUUCGAAAUACAAUUAUAUUUUCAAAAUAAUUUGUUAUUUAUAGACCAAAUAAUCAAAAAUACUUGAAAAUAUGUAAAAAUAGUUAAAAUACUCGAAAAUAACCGAAAUAUAUCCAAAAAUAUUCGAAAAUACUCAAAAAAUAACCGAAAUAUCCGAAAAUAUCAUAAGCAAAAUAACCGAAUGGAUACUAAAUUUUAAAACCGAAAGAACCGAAACCGAACCAAAAUUUUAAAAUAUCUGAAUAGAUACUAAAUCUUGAAACCGAAUAGGCCGAACGGUUAACCGAAAGCUCAGGCUAAGUAAACUACACAAAGCAAAAGCCCAGAAAGGUGACCUUUUAACGAGCUGUCGUUUUUAGAUUUUCGAAAACGGGACGCAGUUGGAUAGCGAAAAUAGUAAACGAGACAUAGUUCUGUUUAUAAUCAGAGUGCAAACCGAUGGCAGCCACAACAAUUUCGCCGGCGAUUAGGAAACAAAUGAGCACCGUUGCCGUCGCAAUGAAGGUCGCCGUUAUCGGCAGCGGAAGUGGGAUUUCUCAAUUUCGUUCUUAGAUUUCGUUUUCGGGUUUCAUUCAUGAAAAUAUAAGUUUUCAAUUAUUCAAAUCGGAGCAGUUUCUGGAGCCGUGUGUGCAUCGACUCUGGCAAGGAAUGGCGUCUCCGUCACUAUCUUCGACUCGGGUCGUGGACCUGGUGGACGCAUGUCUCAAAGAAGGUUCCUUUUCUCCCAAAUUACACGUUCCGAGUCUUUUGAUAAAGAUUGUUCCUUUUCACCUGAAAAGUGUUGUUUUAACUUUGAAUGAUAUCUCGUUUAAGCAGAGAGAUUGGAGAAGAUGGGAAGGAGUUGAUGUUCGACCAUGGAGCUCCAUUUUUCUGUGUGGGCAACUCUGAUGCAAUGGCUCUUGUUCAUGAGUGGGAGUCCAGAGGUUUUGUUUCUGAAUGGAAACAAGUUUUUGGGAGUUUCGAUUGUGCCUUCAACAAGUUUCUUGGCAUCCAACAGGUUUUGAAACAUCAGUCUUUGUGCUUAUUUUAAAACUUUAGUAGAUUAUGAAGUGUGAUCUACUUGUUUCAGUAUAUGUAUUUGGAAGAUACUUGAUACUGCGAUUGAUUGAUACUACCAAGUAGUUUUAAUGAUUCAUCUCGGAGUUUGAGGUUUUAUUUUAGCUUAAUGUGUUUAACUGUCUAGGAAGGGGAUGCAAAGAAGUAUGUGGGUGUUCCGGGCAUGAACUCUAUAUCUAAGGCCUUGUGUCACGAGUCUGGUACUUUUCCUAAUCUUUCUAGUCCAGAGAUUGAACUCAAAUCUCUGAAACAUCAGUCUCUGUAAUCAACUCCGUGAUCAACAUUGUAGGUGUUAAAACUAUGUUUGGAACUGGUAUUGCCAAGCUGGAAUGGUUGGAAGAAGAGAUACCAUGGUUGUUGACUGAUUCAAAAGGAGAUAAUUUGGGUCGUUUCUAUGGAGUGGUUGCAUCAGAUAAAAACAUUGUUUCUCCAAGGUUUACUCAAGUAACCGGACUCCCACCGCCACUGGGUAAGACUCGCACAAACAUAGUCCUCCUAGAGUUGCCCUUUCAAUGCUAUAUCACAUUUAUCUCUAUUCACUUUUAUUUGUUUUCAUAACACAGACUUAAGUCUAGUCCCAGAGUUGGCGACUAAGCUGCAAAAUAUUCCUGUUCUACCAUGCUUCUCUCUUAUGCUAGCUUUCAAGGAGCCGUUGUCUUCGGUAAGAUAUUUGCUUGUCCAGUCUGUAAUCAAUGUUGGUUGAUCAAUCCACUAACCAAAGUAUUUGGGUUCAUCUACAUAAGCUUGCAGAAACAGUAAUCUAGUGAAAGCCUUAUCUAAUUUCUGUCGUUUUGCAUAUUCUAUGAUUUUUGAAUCAGAUACCAGUAAAAGGCUUAUCUUUCAAGAAUUCAGAGAUUUUGAGCUGGGCUCAUUGUGAUAGCACCAAGCCUGGACGGUCUACUGAUAGGUAUCACUUCACUAACCAAAACAUUUUAAAUGUAAAAUUAGAGUAUUUGAGAAGUUGCAACCAAACGUAUGGGGUAAGAUUGUUUCAGUGUUCUAAAUUCUGAGUGUUGUUAUCUUGAUUUUUUUAGUGAAAGAUGGAUACUGCAUUCUACUCCAGACUAUGCCAACAGUGUUAUAGCCAAGACCGGCCUCCAAAAGCUAUCAAGUGAAACACUAAACAAAAUAUCUGAAGAGAUGUUCAAAGAGUUUCAGUGCUCAGGCCUUGUUAGUUCUCUCCCCUUUUUCAUGAAAGCCCACAGAUGGUAAGCGUCCUGACUCUUAGUCCUUCUGUUAAUCGCUUCGCUUGUCAGCUCAAUGAUCUGUUGUCUCUAGGGGAAGUGCGUUUCCAGCCAAAAGCAUAGCCGUAGAGGAGAGGUGCCUUUGGGAUAGAAACAGGAAUCUAGCAAUCUGUGGAGAUUUCUGUGUCAGCCCAAAUGUCGAAGGUGCCAUUCUCAGUGGCUUAGCUGCAACGUCAAAGCUUUUGCAGACUUCUAGCUGCUUAUAGGUACGGAGGUACCAUAUUGAGUUUAUCCCCAAUACCUCGAAACAGAGUAAUAUAUACAUUUAUAUAAAGAUUCUACUAGAAUCAUGUAAAAUGACUAUGACAAUCUUCUUCGUGAACUCUAUCCGCCGAUGAAACAGAUACAUAUCGGAAUAUCAUGUGAUCUUCCUAAAUCUCUACUUUGUUCCUUGAGAAAUGAUAGCCAGCGCAGUUCUAUCGAUGAAAGUGUCAUUCGCAGUGCUUAUUGAUGGAUUCGAUUGGCAACAUCUACGAAAUUAAGCAAUGUAAAUUAUCCUGACAGUUUCUGCUUAUUUGAUGUGCAUACCGGACAAUGCCUUUGCGUUGAUGAAUUUAUGUGCAUUGGUAGACUCAAAGGAUUCAAUAUAUGUGCCUACCGAGAAAACUUGUUAUUCUAAGGUUUUUGUUCCGAAAAUUGAUUUUGAUUUAUUCAAAUACUGUUUCAGGAACCACUGCCUUGGCUAUGCAAUCACCUAUCCCAUCAUGUCCACAGGUAGUGAUGUUUCAUAUUAUCUUAUUGAUCAAUCGUUCUAGAGGUCCCUAAUACCUUGAAACAAAUGGAACUACGAUGAAAUAUAUAUAUAUGUAUAACGUCAUAAGUGGUAUUUUACAUGAAUCUACUGGGUACAAGGGUGAGGAAAUGUUUUGUACAAUCAGACACGCUCACGUUAUUUCCCCCCGAAGAAUUGUUCCAAUAUAUAGCAAUAGUAACUCUGGUUACACUCGAUCAUCAGCAAUUCCAAGCACUGCUUGGAAUACCAAUGUCGGUCAACAGGCUCUCCGAGCUACCUUCUCCAUAACUCUGUGAUUCUUUAGCCCCGAGGCUUCCAUCGAUCUUAGUGAGCUGACUGAGUAGAGCUCUGAGAACCAUCUGAUCUGAAGAACAGAACGAGUCGAGGCCUGUGAGCGUAGCUGGAGCUGAACCACCAGUAAACAAAGGGUUAGGGUUCUUGCAUGGAAUCUUGAGUUCAGAGACUGAGGUGGUAAGGUUUGCGUUUAAGGUUUGGUUCUGUGACAAAUUGGAGAAGCAGGGUACGUGCUCAUUGAUGAUGAAGUGAUGAUCAUCACUGAGGUAAGAAGAGGGUUCUUGGUCAAAGUUGAUGUAAGGAUCCAUCAAUGGAGGAAGAGAUGCGGAGGCUGUCUCAUCGAAACAGCUUCCCAUGUUGUCUCUACAUAUAACUCCUUCCGUAUUCUUAUGGAACACCCUACACAAGACCCAGUCUUCCUGAUUGGGAGGAUGAUAAGAUCCUUGGAGACGGAAUUCGUGCAUGACCCAAUCGGUUUUACGACCUCGAGGAGCUCGACCUUGAUAGAACACCAAUGUCUUCCUCAUCCCAACAAGCUUACCCUUUCUUAGAAUGGCUCUGUCUUUGCCGGUAGCUUUCCAAUAUCCAGUGGCCGUUGCUCGGUUUGUUCUCAGCCCCGUCGCGUAUUUCCGGUCUCUUUGGCUAUAGAAAUACCAAUCCUUCCCUCCCACGCAUGCCAUUUCUGAUCAUUUGAAACAUACACACAAACAUGUUUACAAGCCAACUUUUUGGUUCGAAAGACUCGCAAUAGAAGAAAUUUUGUCUCUUUGUUUACAAGCAUUUAGCUUCGUAACUCGGUUAAUCAACAAAAAAAAAUAUUAGAAGAUACUGUUGAAUGUAACUAGAAAAGUUUAUUGAAAUCUCAUAACGAUAAAUCUUUUUCUCUUUAAAAUAUUCCAUGUUCAAAUAUAUCGGCUAUUUUAGGAUUUACAAUAAUAAGAUACAAUAGACAUCCGUGAGUGAUUGAACUAAGCAUGUCAACAUGUGAUUCUUCAACCAAAACAACGAAUAGAAAUCCAACGCGUGUAAAUGAGUAGGAUUUUGAUUUUAUUUUAUUUUUGUUUGAAUAAAGAAAAAUAUCUUUGAUCAAAUGAGUGACGACUAAGCAUUCAAUAAUUAUUAUGUAGUUGAAGGGUCAAUUUAUCUUUGAUUUGAAAACUAAUCAGGACCCAUUAGAGGCGUAAGCAAAGGAGGGAAUAAGAAUACUAAUUUUGAUCAAACCCAACGAAUUUUACUUUUUGAAACUUAAAAUAUGUCACACUCUAAGCCUAUAAACCAACAAAAUCGAGAUAUUGACUUUUUCGUCGUUACUAGCUUAUUUUAUUUUAUCCAAAGCUUUAUUUUCAAGAAAUUUGGUUGAGGAUAACGCCAAGAGUGUCAACUUCUCAUAUAUAAUUAUCUCUGUCUCUCGAAAUCUCCAUAUUAUUACGUAAUAUAUGUUUUUUUUUUUUAUAACUUGUAAUCAUCUGAUGAAAUGAAAAGACUUAAAAAUUUUGUGAUAAAUAGACUACAUUGUAUAUAAACUGAAUGCAAAAAAUAUGUGGUGACAUCAUCUUAAAGUUUAUUGGUUCCAACUUUUUGUUUUUGUUGAUAUGGAUUAACGAACUUCAAGUUUUGUUUAUAUAAAACCAUGAACACGAAAGAAGAGCAUGACAUAAUCUAAUCUUUAAUAUGGACCAACCAUAUCAAAGUAAAACAGAGAUAUGGAUUAAUUAAUAACAGAUUGAUAUAUAUGAUCAAGAAUGAAAGAACACGUACUUGGGAUGUCCCAAGGCUCACACUUGUUGAGGUCGACUUGGAUCAAGACGAGAGGUGGUCGAGGAUUAUUGUGAAGCGAUCGUUUCAUCAAGUAAUCGCAGACAAGCUCGUCGUCCUUCGGGUGAAAUCUGAAUCCUGGUGGUAACUUUGCCUCCACCAUGCUUAUACUACUUUCCUUCAUCUCUUCUUCCGUCUCCAUAAUUGAUCAAUCUCUCUUAAUUUCUUAGGUUUUAGUAUUUGAUUAGUGGAUGGUUAAGAGGAAAGGAAAGAUAAAGAAGGAGAGAGAAGAAUAAUUAUUGGGAUCAUUUGGGUGUGUCCGAGGACGAAGACCCUUGGUUUAUGUAGUAAUUGUCCACCCAAGCCGUCAACUUCUAUAUAUAGUAUCAUUUUAAAAACUUAAUACGUAUGUUAGUAUUUCCAUUUCAAAUCAAUUAUUAAUCACAUAUUUUUGCCAAGAACAUAAAAUGGAUAUAAUAGUUGAGGAUACAUAUAUAUAGAAUAUGAAAAAGUUGAUAUUCUCUGUGAUUUAUACUAUUGAAUGUAACAAAAAAGCAUAAGAAGAUAAUGAAAAUGUUCAUAAAUUGUUACAAAAUGGUUUUUAACUUUUUAAUAAUGAAUUAUGCUCUCUGUAUACAUAAACAGUGGGAUGGCUGCCAUGAAACAGGAGACAACAAUUAAAGAAUGUAAUACUAGCCUCCAUUGAUUCAUUUCUUAUAGUAUAAUGUUUUGAUUUUAUUUAUUUUUUCCGUGGUUUAAUUAUUUCGAAAUAGUUUUAGUAGUAGUUUAUAACUAUGAAACACAUGUCAGUUUUUCUGAUUAUUAUUUAUGGUAUCGCAUUGUAAUCUCCGUCUUUAAAUACACGCGAAUUGUAUAAUCAUUUGUCGUAGUCAUAGACACACAAAUUGCUUAGUUUUUAAAACAACAAAUCUAAUCCGAGUAAAAUCAAAUGAGAAUAAUUCAUGUGAACAGCUGGAUUUGAAAGGCCCGCGUGGCCCAAAGACGUGGACCAUUCAUCUUGCCCUAUGCUAAAUUCCACGAUUUAUAUGUUUAAUAAAUUCGGUGAAUAAGUUUUCCUAAUUAAUUAACCAAUGGUCAUUUUAUACAUGGAUUUUGGAUAUAUAAACACUCAAACUUGCCCAUUAAUUGUGGAUACGUCUAUUGCAUAGUUGCGCCUCGUGAAUAAAACAAAGCCAGUGUCAUUUUCGCCAUUACCUCAGAUCAUUACAUGCUAGUAGCCGUUUAAUAACCAAGGAAAAUCUGAAAGAUUUUAUUACCGACCGAUUACAAUAACGAUAUUGAAUGUUAAUUAAGAUUAUGUUAAGAGAAAAUGAGAUUAUUGGAAUAAUGAAGAGGAAGAAGAAGCUGGUCCAUAUAUAAAUGUAUGAUUCAAUGAAAGCGUGGUGAAGGUAUUGGGUUCGAUGUUGUCGUUUGUGACAUUGGAGAAGUGGAAGUGAUGGCCACAACAACAACUAACAAAAACUUUGUUUGUAGUGGACUUGGUCAAAUUACUUCGAUUCUAUUAACUUUUUGACAAUAUUGGAUAGAGACAAAAACUUAUUUGAGUUUCUAUUUAAUUUCCAUGUACUUCGAUCGGAGUUAUAGUUCAUCUAUUAGAUUGGAUAGAACCAAAGUUUUUGGAUUAUGUGCGGUAUUGUGCAUUCCAUUAUGAUACAAUAUUGUAUGUUUUAGCCCAUGCAUACGAAUUAUUUCUUUUUUAGUAGGUUUUUUCGGCUGAGGGUUCUAAGUUUAAACUCUAACGGAUCAUGCAUGGCUUAUCACCGUAGACAAAUACAAUGCAUACCGAAAUAAAUUUAUUCGGAUUAGAUUUCGAACAAAAAGAGAAAAUACAUCUUCAUAUCAUAUUAGGUGAAGCAUCAUUCAACUAUAUGUAUAUUUUAAAUGUAUAUUAUUAAAUGUAUAUUUUGUGAUUGGAAUGAUUUAUGAUUAUUAUUUAUGUAUACCUUGGUUUACAUCGCAAUCUAGGCCAUGCUAUUAUUUAUGUAUGUCCAAGAUUAAAUUUUGAAUCAAGACAAAUAUUCGACCGGUGGUUGAGAUAUUAGAUUUUAUGUUAGAUAGCAAGGCACUCCAAGAGUCACUUCCGAUAUUUCCUUGACAUACAUUUUACAUAAUCGAUUGAAGAAUAGUAAUAUCAAUACCCACAAAGACACAACCGUAUGAUAAUUUGAUAUAUAUGACAACAUAAUUAUAUAUAUAUAUAGAAUGUGAUUUGUAAUCUUUUAUCAAUGUGGAAAAGAAGCUAGGUACGAAAAGAUGGUUUUAUCAAUUUCUUUGUAUAUCAUUAGCUUUUAAUUCUUUUUAUAUCAAGUUUAUCGGUAUAACCAUAAAAUGCAAUAUAUUCUUAGUUUAAAAAGAUAUCGUUAACUCUUAAUUCUUAGUCCAAUUUAUUUGUGGACUAAGAUUUGCAUUUUGAGGUUACACUAAUGAAGUGUACGUAAUGCAUACUUAUAGAGUUUAUAGAUAUUUUUUCUCAUAUCAUUUUAUCGGUUUCAUGCCAAAUUAGAAAGCAUAAUAUGGACAAUACGAAGUGCGUACGUUAAUCUUUAUUGCUGUAAAACUAGGUAUUAAACUCCCUUGAUUUAUUAAGAUGUGAUACAAUGACUUAUAUAGAGAACCUCUCUAGGGUUUACAACAACCGACUAUGACUUGAACAAUAAGUUACGGGCCUAAACAUGUGGCCCAAACUCUAUCCGUAAUACUCCCCCUCACGUUGGAGCGUGAAGGUUCUGAACGUCCAACUUGGACAUUAAAAACUCGAACUGAUUACGACCCAAUGCUUUUGUAAAAAUAUCCGCCAGUUGCUCUUCCGUGCGAACAUGAUGAGUGGAAAUGGUACCAUCUUGAACGGCAUCACGGACGGCAUGACAAUCGUUCUCAACAUGUUUUGUACGUUCGUGAAAGACCGGGUUAGCAGCAAUAUGGAGAGCAGCCUUGUUAUCGCAGAAGAGACGGACCGGUUGACGAUGUUCAAUUCCCAAUCCUUUCAACAACUUGAGCAUCCAUUUGAUUUCCUUUAAUGCAGCUGCCAUGGCCCUGUAUUCAGCCUCCGCGGAAGAAAAAGAGACUGUUUCUUGUUUCUUGGUUUUCCAAGAGAUAGGAGAAUCACCUAGAAAGACAAUGUAAGCACUGAGAGAACGGCGGGUUAAGGGACAAGACGAAUGAUCAGAAUCACAAUAAACUGUUAGAGACAAAUCUUUAUCAGCCUUGAGAAGAAUCCCUUGUCCAGGUAACCCUUUCAAGAACUUGACAAUACGCAACGCUGCAGCCCAAUGAGCUUCCCUUGGGGCUUGCAUGAACUGGGACAGUACAUGAACCGAGUAACUUAACUCCGGUCGUGUAUGUAAGAGAUACAAAAGACGACCAACAAGUCGCCGAUAUGGCUUAGGAUCAGCGAGUAACGGACCAUCAUCACGGGCAAGGCGAUGAUUUUGCUCUAGAGGAGUCGGAGAAGGCCGUGAACCAAGCACCCCACAAUCGGCGAUGAUAUCUAACGCAUACUUGCGUUGCGACAAAAAAAUUCCUUCAGGACCUCGACUGAUUUCAAUGCCAAGAAAAUACUUUGGUUUGCCUAAAUCUUUCAUCGAAAAGCAUUUACCCAAGUAUUCUUUGAACUUCUUAAGCAUAUAGCCAUCAUUACCACAAAUCAAGAGAUCAUCAACGUAGAUCAACACUCGGAGUUCGAUAUCUUUAUGUGUGUAGGAAAAUAAAGAGUAAUCAUCAUAAGAUUGUACGAACCCGAAUUUGAGAAGAGAAUCUGACAACUUUUUAAACCAACAACGCGGAGCUUGUUUCAAUCCAUACAGAGAUUUGCGAAGUCGACACACUUUAUCAGGAUGAGAAUGACGAAAUCCAGGAGGAAGCUUCAUGUAAACUUCUUCGUCAAGAUCACCAUGAAGAAACGCGUUGUGAACAUCCAUUUGGUACAUCUCCCAUUGAUUUGCCGCUACUAAACGAAGGAGUGUACGAACUGUUGUCAUUUUGACCACGGGAGCAAAAGUCUCAGUGUAGUCUUCACCUUCAACUUGAUUAUUGCCGAGAGCAACAAGACGAGCUUUGUAGCGUUCCACUGAACCAUCCGAAUUAAACUUUGUUUUGUAAACCCAUUGACUUCCAAGAGCAGUCUUGUUUGGUGGCAAGUCGCAUAGAUCCCAAGUCUUGUUGAUUUCGAGGGCAUCAACUUCUGUAGUCAUGGCUUUAUUCCAUACAUCAAUUUUUACCGCCUCUUUAAAAUGCUUUGGCUCGACAUUACUUGUAAUAGCCGCCAAGAAAGCCCUAUGACCAGAAGAAAAAUAGUCAUCGGAUAUAUAAUCAGACAAAGGGUAUUGUGACUUACAAGGAACCGAGUUUGAGGACUGAUAUAAAAAAUUGAUUCUUAACUAAAGAAUCGAAAAACUAGAACAGCGGAAGACUUUUAGGUUAUAGAUCUUAGCUCUGAUACCAUGUAAAACUAGGUAUUAAACUCCCUUGAUUUAUUAAGAUGUGAUACAAUGACUUAUAUAGAGAACCUCUCUAGGGUUUACAACAACCGACUAUGACUUGAACAAUAAGUUACGGGCCUAAACAUGUGGCCCAAACUCUAUCCGUAAUAAUUGCUCACAGUUUAUCACAAACUCGACAAAAUUUGGCUAGAAUAUAAUGGUAUCAUAUCGACCAGAAGAUUGGUCCGCUUUUGCGACUGAGCUCUUUGAUCUAAAGCUUUUGCAAUUCUAGUUUCUUUAUUUUGACAUCAUUAGACGAAAAUAAGAUAAUUAGACAGAACAUAAUUUCUCGUUUGAAAUACUAGAAUUGUAACGUUAUCUUUUCUUUGCAAAAAUAUAUUUGUUGUCAUACUGAUUGAUUAGCUAUGGAUGUAAAAAAAACCAUACUAUUUUUUCUUAAUGAAAGAGGAAUUGUUUUUGUUGAAAGAAAACAAAAAUGCUUAUAUGUAUGAAUUCACGAAACGUGUGCUUAUGAUCAAACUCAAUUAUUGGUUGGUAGGUGACCAUAAUGAGAAAAAAAUAAUACCAAUUCACAUAAUAAGAAAAAAAUAAAUGCUCACACGAACCAGAUCUAAAUAAAUGUUUGUUUUCAAUAACACAAACAUAUUGACACACAAAAAAUGGUCAAAUAAUAUUAGGCCCAUAACAUAGUUAAACCCGGCCCAUUAAAAAUAACCGACCCGAAAGCUUCCGGUAAAUGAAACAAGUGUUGUGUACGGUGUACCUGAGAGUGAGCUGUAUAUAAUGCUUGUCUCUGUCACUCCCACUUCUCUCCCAAAUCCUUUUAACACUGAUUUUUGCCGGCAAAGAUUCUUCUUUUUUUCUCCUAUCAACUUCUCAAUGGCUUCCGCUUGCGUGAAAAGUGCCGGUGUUUCGCCGGAGAAGUUUUCGUCGUACGGAUGGACGAGCCCUCGAAUGUCUUUAACCCGAGAAGACAACACACGCUCUUCCUCCGUCGACAAGCAACAAUCUGACCCAUCACCGGAAAACCAAGAUCCAGUUGUGGAUUUCGAGUUUUGUCUCGAAGAUCCGGUCACAAUGCUCUCCGCCGAUGAGCUCUUCUCCGACGGAAAGCUCGUACCUUUGAAGUUCUCUGGCCCCAAGACGACGACGGUCAGCACAACUACCACCGAACCAAGAGGAUCACCGGAGGUUCUUAAAUCUUGCCGGAGACUUGAGAUGGAGAUCUCUGACCUCUUCUCUCCUAAAGCUCCUCGUUGUACGACUCGAUGGAAAGAGCUUUUAGGUCUCAAGAGACUUGUCAACGCCAAAGCACAAGAAUCUGUUAAAGCUUCUUCAUCUUCUUCACCCACAAACGCAAAAACGUCGUCGUUUAAGCAAUUUCUUCACCGGGGAUCUAAAUCUUCCACCACCACCGCCGCCGCCACCGCAACGUCUCCGUUGCAAAAAGAAUCAGAUAUCUCCGAAUCAAUCUCAAUCGCAUCUUCACGUCUCUCACUCUCUUCAUCGUCUUCCUCUAGCCACGAGAUCGAUGACCUUCCAAGACUCUCGCUUGAUCUCGAUAAACCAAGUCCUAAUCCCUUUGCUCCGUCGCGGACUCACUCACGAAACCUCAACCAACCAAGAAUCAGAUUAGCCAAACCAAGACGGCAUAAUCAUCCACCGUCGACGCCUUCCGUUGACGGAUCAUCAUCAUCAUCGGCGAACAUCGAAUCUCGAGGACUCACCGUGACGGCGGAUAGUCCUAGACUUAACGCCUCCGGUAAAAUCGUGUUUCAUGGACUUGAAAGAAGCUCGAGUAGUCCCGGAAGCUUCACCGGUGGACCUAGAAUGAAGCAGCACCAUGGAAUGCCGAGAUCGUACUCUGCUAAUGUCAGAAUCACGCCGGUGCUUAAUGUUCCGGUAUGUUCGUUAAAAUCAGGGCUUUUCUUCGGUCAGCUCUUCUCAUCGUCGUCGUCAUCUUCGUCUUCAUCGUCAUCUUCUCCGUCUCCGGGGAACAAAUCUCAGUUACAGAGCAACGGCGGCAAGAACCGGAUUAAUCGAACCAGGCUUGAACCGAAAUUCGAACAAUUAGAAAAGUAAACCGGAUUGAGGUAAACCGCUAUGACUUUUUAGGCAGAUGGAGGAGAUAGGGGGGAAUCUUAACGCUUGUUUUUCUCGGGGUUGUUUUGUAAACUGAAGUUAAAUUUGGGGACUGGAUAUGUAAAUACGGUUUAACAAUUUAUUUUCUCGGUCUAUCGCAUUAAUCAUAACAUAUUUUCAUAACCUCAUCGAUUGCGUCGUUGAUUUUACUCGGAAAGACCAAACAGCAAUAAAAAUAUAUUUAUCUGUUAAACGAUAAAUUCGAUGAAAUAUUAAAAAAAAAAGUCUGACCAGAAAGUCUGAUGUGCUUGCCAUGUUCGGAGAUUGCUUCAGAAGAUUUCUGUAUGUAUAAAAAUAGUUUUUGACAGAAUAACCAAAAGAUGAUUAAUAAACAAAUAAAGAAAAAUUAUGUGAUUUGUAAUUACUGGUUAGAGGAGAAGUUCCUAGUUUUAAUUAUUCGAGUUACGAAAAAAGCAAAGUAUGCUUUAUCACCUUUUUUCCUAAUAAUGUUUUUGCAUGUGAUCAGUGAAGAUCCAAAUUGCAAAUCCUCCUCGGUUUGGCUUUAAUUGUUUAGCUUGUUCAACUUCAAUAUGUAUUGUUUUAAAUACGACAACUUCAUAAGCUUAAUUUGAAAGAAACAAGAACUUAGUAACUUUUUAACUAAAAAGACAGCUUUGAAUUUGGUUUAAAGCAAAAACUAGCUAGAGAUAAUUAGUAGUAGUACUUGGAAACUGCAUGUGUAGUUAGUAGAGUAGAGAGCAUAUAUAUAGACUAAAAUAGGUCGGUGGACCAAAUCAAGAGGAUCUUCCAUGUCUUCCCAAAACAUAUUAUAGACUCUUUUACUUUUUUUUUUCAAUGUUCAAAAAGUGGACAGCGCCUAGCUAAUCAAACUUUCAAAAGUAUGUUUAGCAUUUUAGGGAUUAGUCACUAGUUUCCAUUAUUGUAAGAUCUAUAGAUGCUCUAAACUAGAUUAGUGAACAUUUAAGACCGUUUAAUGGAUUCGAUUCACUAUGGUUUACUCGGGUACAUAAAAUCGAGUAAUCGAUUGUCUAGACCCGACUUAACGGCAGCCCGAUUUGUUUGGUUGAUUUAUAGUAACACAAUAUAUCAUUGGGCAUCUAUCAACUAACUAAUUAAACAACCGAUUUUAAAACGUUGUAACUUGUUUUCUUAUAUCAAAACUUAAAAGAAAAUGUUGAAGUUUAGUUGAAACCUCUCUCAGUAAUAUCACAUUCUUCUGGAAUCUAUUAUUUGUCUAUAGAUUAUGUUUAUAAUAAUAAUGAAAUUAAAUAAUAUGUGUAUUGGAGAUUUCAAGAGAGUGAAGAGACAACUAAGGUAUAGAUUAAUAAAUGUAAUUAAGGGACAGAUCUCAUGAAAAAAUACUGUAAAGGGUCAAAGCCUGAAGAGAGCUGUCAUUCGUAGUAGCUAGCCUUACAGCUAUAUAAAUCCCGGUAACUAAAUAAGUUAGCUUCAUCGAAUUAUUCUGUUUACAAAAAGAUUAUAUGCUAUUAAAAAAAAAUAUAUAUAUAUAUAUAUAUAUAUAUAUAUAUAAAGUACUUGCUCGUUAUAUUCUGGAACAUCAGUCCUUAAAUCCCAGCCGUUGGAUUCUUUCUUCCCCAAUCACUACAAUAGACGAAGACAAGAAUAAAUGCAAAUUAUACACAUUCUUUAGUUAUUGUAGAAAUUUUCUGAGUUAUAGAUAGAGAGAUAGAGAAUUAUCAUAUCAUACACAGACAAUCACUUCAUUUUGUCAUACUUUACUUCAGUGACAAGUAGCCGUUAGGUCAAAUAAUAGGAUCUAUCAAUAUCAAUUUAUAAACGACAUAACACAUUAAAUUUAAGCCUAUUGAUUUAUUGCUGCCUUUAAAUAAUCAAACCAUCUAUAUAUAUUUAAUACUAUACUCCUACUAUAUUUGCAUGCCAUAAAAUCGAUAUAUAGAUCUGAAAUCAAUGCAUGUGUUUCUUUUUCUUACCGGACCUAUCUUUCUCUUGUCGUUUGUUUGGCUAUAGGAAAAAAUAAUACUAAAAUUCCAAAUUGAAUCACAUUUCAAAUAGUCAAAUACAUUUUCCUAAAUCAUUAAAUACUUUAGUACAUACAAUUAUCUACCAUAAGUCCAUAAUGUCACAUAGAAAAUGGUAAUUAAAAAAGAAAUAGAGGUAAUAGAAGGAUAUGAAUGAGAGAACGUGAUAGUUCCCAGUGUUGUGCCCUCUGUAAAAGAUUCUCUCUCUCCCGAUUGAUACUUUAACUCUGCUCUUUUUGCAUCUGUCUUUUUUCAUACUCAUAAACAGUGUCACGACAAAUGGCUUAAGUAGAGAAAGGCCGACAAAGAAGAAAAAAUUAGUUACAAAUAAUCGUUCUCUACAUUAUUUUAAUCCAUCCAACGGCGAUUAAAUUAAGUUAAAGACAUAAGCUAAUUAUAAUUAAUUAACACUUAAUCCUCCUUUCUUGAUCUCGUUUUCUUUUACAAAAAAACGACAAAAAGACUUAAAAUAUAUUAUACGAUCAAAACCCUAAAACUUAGUAUUAGCUUUGAGAGUUUACUACAAUACAUGGCAUGGCGCUCAAGUUGAGUUUCCCUAUAUUAUAUUUGGUUUUUGCUUUAACUUGACAGUUGACACGUCAUCAAAUAUUUGUAUAUAUUUUGUAAUUAUACCAAUCAAAAACCACAUUUUCUGAAUAGUAUUUGUAAAUAUAUACUAUAAGCUAGCUAUAUUUUGAGUGAAUGACAUAUAUUUGUGCUACGGAACAUAGACAGAGAAGAUAGGACAGCUUGAGCUGGGUUCUUAGCUGUUUGUUACAAAGAACAAAAUGUAAGAUUUGAAUAGUAAUAAUUGAAUGUUUCUAAUAGAAAGAGGUAAGAAGGAAAACAAACAAACAAAUUUUUUGAAAAAACAAAGAAGAUAUAUUUUGUCUUAUAGGUGAAUAUAAAAGUGUAUGAAAUGUGUGUAUCUGUAUGUUUUGGUGUAAACAAGUUGCAAUAAUAUAUAGAGCCAAAUAUUGGAAGUUUAUUAUUGACCGAUGUGUAAAAAAAAUCUGCAGGCCAUUGUCUUGUCCUCUUCUUAUCUCCCUCUGUACAUCUACGUACUUUCUUGUUCUUGUUCCUCUCUCACUUUUGUCUCUCUCUCAAUAUUUAUUACUCUCCUCUCUCUAGAUCGUCGUUUUCAAAUUUUGGUAACAAAAAGAUAUUCAAUGCUAAUUACCAACAGUAAAUAAAAGUUUGAAAAGAUAAAAUAUAGGAGACCUCUAGGCUUAGGUCAGUGAUUAGAGUUUUGGCUUUUUAAGCAUGCAUCGUUGAGUUUAAAUGGAGCAACAAAAGCAAAUAAUAAUUUCUGGCUAGGUGUAACUAUUUCGAAAACUAUUCCAUUACUCGUUGAAAAUAUCAGACUCUCUCUCUGAAUAAAAGCGAUCAAAGAGUUGUGUUACGUCACAUUGUCCGAUUGUCACGUGAUUUUUUAUUUUCAUAGCUACCGAAAAAAGUGGGAACAUAUUAAUUUCUUUGGGAAAAAACCCGAAAAAACCGCCAUCUAUUUUUUUUUUGGCCGUUUAAUACCUGUGUUUUUAAAUUUGGAAUAAAAAUACCUUAUUUAAUUUCGAUUGCCUUUUAAAACUAUCGUUUUUUAAAACUUGGUAAUUUCGAACCCGACACUUAACAGUCGUUACUGGACGUAACGGAAUUAUUUAACGGCGUUAAAUUUUAACCGGGAAAAAACCAAGAAAAACCGCCAUCUAUUUUUUUUUUUGCCGUUUAAUACCUGUGUUUUAAAAUUUGGAAUAAAAAUACCUCAUUUAAUUUCGAUUGCCUUUUAAAACUAUUGUUUUUUAAAACUUGGUAAUUUCGAAUCCGAGACUUAACAGUCGUUACUGGGCGUAACAGAAUUAUUUUACAGCGUUAAAUUUUAACCCCACAUGUUUAUAUAAAUAUAUACAAACUGCUCACAACACAUUACGAGAAUGUCAAUGUGGUUUAGUGGUAGCGUGUGUUUUUUUUUAAACCACCAGAUCCGGGUUUGAAUCUUAAACCUGUUUUUUUUUUCUCUUUGUUCUCCACUUCGAAUAACUUCCCAUCAGUACAAAGUUAAGACUCGAAAUGCAAACAAAAGAUGAAUCAUAGAGCGAUUUCAACAAAUCGAUUCUGCAAUUAGAUCUACCAUUGAAAAAGAACAGCAACUAAAUCGACAUCAAUCAGAUCAGAUCUAUACAUAAAUGGGAUGGAUCUCGGCAAAAACCCAUUAUCAAAAAAGAGAUUCGAGUGAAGAAGAGAAAGAGAGAGAGACUAGUUUGCAUCAUCGGAGAUCUGAGAAGAAGAAGUCGUCGUCACCACCGGCGAAGAAGACGAAGAACACAAAAAGAAACUAAUAAAAAAAAAAAAGAGGUUGAAGUCUUGAAGAGUCAAACCCAGCUUCUAAGGUUUACAAAACUAACAUGCAAACAGAUAGUAUAUAUUUAUAUGCAAACAGAUAGUAUAUAUUUAUAUAAACUCGUGGGGUUAAAAUUUAACGCGGUUAAAUAAUUUUGUUACGUCCAGUGACGACUGUUAAGUUUCGGGUUCGAAAUUACCAAGUUUUUAAAAACGAUAGUUUUAAAAGACAAUCGAAAUUAAAUGAGGUAUUUUUAUUCCAAAUUUAAAAACACAGGUAUUAAACGGCCAAAACAAAUAGAUGGCGGUUUUUUCGGGUUUUUUGCCGGUUAAAAUUUAACGCCGUUAAAUAAUUCCGUUACGCCCAGUAACGACUGUUAAGUGUCGGGUUCGAAAUUACCAAGUUUUAAAAAACGAUAGUUUUAAAAGGCAAUCGAAACUAAAUGAAGUAUUUUUAUUCCAAAUUUAAAAACACAGGUAUUAAACGGCCAAAAAAAAUAGAUGGCGGUUUUUUCAGGUUUUUUCCCUAAUUUCUUUUAUAUUUCUUGGUCUUUCGUAUGUUUGGCUUUUCAUGGCGUUUUAGGUGUGUCUACAAAAGCACACUUGUCUUCUUUACCGUUCUGAGGAAAAAUGGCUUUGUUUCUAUUUUCGGAUAUUUUAUCAAAGAAAACAAGGUCCGGAUUAGGCCACGUACGACCCGGUUAUGAGUUUCCGAUUCAAAAUAAUGAGGUUUAAAAUACAAUGGAUCACAAAUUGAAAUAAGGCUCAUAAAUAGAUUCAUGAGGCCAUUAUCGGCCCAAUAGCAACUUUGAACUUAUAGAUAGAGAGAGUAAACCGGUUUGAAAAACGAGAAAAAUCAACCCAACUCCUCAAUGGCAGAGCGGAGAGCUCGGUUAGGGACAAAGUUGAGAUGUGGAAGCGGGAGAUUUGUCAUCGGUGAGGUCUGGUGACCUGUGUUAAUCCAAUUCUUAAUAGCUUCUAAUUCGUAUGUGAAUCCAUCAGCAGCCAUGUGUGGAUCUUGCAUGACCUCCUGCGACAAAUAUAAACCACAUUAUCUUGUUAAAAAAAGUCUAUACAAGAUUAUUUUUGAGUGGUAUGCAAGUUAUCUUCUUGUGGAGUUAUACCUGUGUGAUAGGGCAGAAAAAUGAAGGUGGAGGUUGUUGCUCGUCCACUAUCUCUUGUGCUGUUUUGAGAGCAUUGUCCCUCUCUUGUCGCAUCGCAUCUGCUUCUUGUUUGUACGAUUCGACUAGUCCUUUGACAGUCUCGAGCUCUGUUUUUUUAGUAGAAAGAGCAUCCUCUUUUUCUUUUCUAAUAAUUGACUCUUGGUCGUACUUGUCUUGCCAUGUUAUCACCAGCGAAUUCAGGUUCUCUUGUUCUGUGACACAAGUUUCAAGCAGUUCUUUUAUCCCCUCCAACUCUUUCCUUUCUUUAUCCAGCGCAGUUUCUGAUUCUCUCCUGAGUACCACUUCAUUCUUGUAUUCGCUCUCGAACUCCUCAGCCUUCCAACGCAUAAAAUCACCUUCUAUGGCUACCGCGAUUUCAGUUUCUGUCCUAAGCUGCAACCCUGCUUCAUGUUUGUGCUCCAAGGCUUCUACUUGAAGUUGCAAUUGACCUUGUUUUUUCUCGUAAGGCUCAAGUAACCGUUCCGUCAAAUCUACUACUUCCUUAAACUUUCUAGCAAGUGCAUCUUCUGCUUCCUUCCUAAGAUUGACUUCGACUUCGUCAUUGUACUUAUUCUCCAACUCUAUAGUAGCCUGUAAAUUAAGCUGCCAUUAGAGACAUAUAUACAUGCAUACCAACACGAUUAUGUUUAGAAGAUAUCAAUCAUGUCUUUGGAUGGUUGUGUUACCCGAGAACUUAAAAAAAGCUGAUUGAAAUUUUCAUCAGAAAACUGUAAGUCAGCUAGUUUUCCAAUGGUGGACAGAAAUAAUUUCAUUGCAUCAGUGCUCCUCUCAGGUGGCAAGAUGGGAUUCAUCAGCACCUACAUUACAAUUAGUACUUACUAUGCUCUUUAUUAAACCCUUUAAUUAAUUAGAAGCAGGUCCAAGAGUGAAAAAAAAAGGCAAACCUGAAUUAUACUUUUCCGUGUUGUUCCAGUGAUCUUCAUAUUCUUGAAAACGUCAGCCAAAACCCUAACAGUUUUGAUGAAUCUCCAAUAAUUUGAUUCAUCAACAUAAACAAGUGGAAGAUCUGUUUCGAUGGAGAAGUUUUCAAGCUCUAUUUGGCAUUUACGCAAAAACUGUCUCUCCAAAGAUGUAAUUUCGCCGUGAGAUUCAUCUGAUGGACACUACAAGAAUAUUGAGUUUUAAUAGCAUUAAAAGAUAACGAUUUAUGUAUUUAUGCUAUAGUUGAUUUACCCUUAACUCUUUUGUAGCGUUUCUAAAUUGAUACACGCUAUAAUAUGUUAUGCAGAUAAAAAGUUAUGCGCUGGCUCAAUUUUUUCGCUCAAUUUUUUUUUAACAUGGUAUAUGAUAGCAUAUAUACACAACUAAAACGUUAUGGAAAAAUUAGCGGGAGAAAAGAAGUCAGUGACCGCCUAAACUAAAAUUGGGCUCUAGAAACUCUUAUCCACAAACCCUUAAUUUUUUAUUUUUCUUUCACUUUAUUCAUCAGGCUAAUGAAACCGUCUAUCUUCUUUGACUUCUCUUCAUCUCCGUUACUCUAUUCUCGCUCAAUCCACUUCUCCUCUUUGCUUCUUAGUCUCUUCGUUUCUUCAUCUUCUUCACCUCUUCCUCUUCUCCCUCUUUUCUCGUCUUCUCCAGCAAACUCAUUUUUCCAGAUCUAAUUUUUUUUUUUUUUUUUCAGAUCUCGUCGCCGCUUAUGAUGUACCGCCAAAGUAAUCGAAGAAGACGUAACGAGAGAUGUUAUGCUAGUUUUCCGAUAGUUACAAGGGAUCUCCGCCUUCCACCCUAGCUCCAUCAUUGCCUCUUAGAUCUGUCGCCGUUUCCACAUCUUAGCCGCCAGUGAGUCUCUUCCGAAUUCUUCUUAAUGUUUGAGAUAUUAAUUUAGGGUUCUCCAAUUUGUGCUUUUCAUCCAUAACUCUUACGAUUUUUUAACUCUUUGUGUUGGUUUUUUUUCUUCUAAUUUGAUUUAAUUGAGCCACGAGGAUGGAUGUAUUUGGUUCGAUUUUUGAAGGAAUUGAUGUUCUCAGAGAUGAAAGUGAGGGAUAAUUAGGAAGAAAUACGAUCCUUUUCGUCGGAGCAUUGGAUCUGUGUGGCCUCUCGAUGGUAGAAGGGAGGAGUCCUAACAGCGAUUGAUGAAGAGAUGAGCGAUAUUGUGAGGAUUAAGACAACAGAUCGUGAAGAUAGGUGAUGAAUCAAGUUGAGGUGAAAUCAGAUUCGAGGUUAGGGUUUAAUCUUUAAUUUGUACUAGUUUAAGGGUAGUUAUCAAGCGGAAUUUUUCUGUGUGCUUUUAUUUUGUUCUCUGAGAAGCUAAGUUGUAUAUUUGAUUGAUGUUUUUUGUUUAAUGUAGGCAUUGAGAUUCUUAAGUACGUUGACACUGUUACUCCGAAAUACAAGCCAAAGUUUGAUGCUUUGGUGAGCAAAUAGAUGAGAAACUCGAUUGCUAAUGUUUGUUUUAUUAUAAGUUUCUCUUCUAUAAGAUCUUUUCAGUUGACUUAACUUUGUGUCAUGUUUGUGCCAUGUUUCAUGCUAUAUCUAGUUGAUGCAACUUGUAAGGUUAAUCAAAAGUUGUGAUUUAUCAUUUUGUUUUAAAUCUAUACAUGCUAUUCUAGGUCAAAGGGAGGCGUCGUGGAAUCUGUUCUUGUAUGCAACUUGAAAAGUUGAGUUAGGAGAGGAGGAUGGGAUAGAACUAAGGUAAACAAACCAACAUUUCUUGUGAAUUCCAAUUUUUCCGUACUCUUUGCUUAACUUUUUCUUAUUUCUUUUGUCAACUCUGGGCAGAGAGUUGCAAUAUGUCGUGUGUCUUCAAGUGAUCGAGCAGAGAAGGUCCAUUUCAUCCCUUUAGGUUCCAACGCUAGCAAGGUCUGGGUAGAGGUUUUCAAGGUUGAUGGUGCACGAGUGUGGAGAGCAAAUUGAGAAUUUGAAACAUUUGCAUGGGUUUUAUAUAUGAAGUACUUUGAACUCCUUAUCUUGGUGUUUUAUAAUAUGUAGAGCUUAGGUUUGACUCUUCAUGACAAAUAAAUGAAGUAUUUUGAUUAAAUAUACUGUUUCUUAUACCCAGAUUUAUAUAUAUUGAUUCAAAUUAGUAUAAAACAAAUAGAAAUGGUUAUAUUUAUAUAAAAAUAGCAAUUCCAAAAUGUUGUUAAUAAUAUCAUUAAUAACAACAAAAAUACGCUAUUAUAUAAUAUUUAAUUACAUUCAAUUAAACGUUAUUGUAUACGACAAUACGAUAGCAGAACAAAAAAACGUAAUCUAAAGUGUCUGACCUAUUAUGACGGGCGCAGAUAUAGCGUUUGUCAAAAUGCUAUAGAAUAGUUAGAUAGCGUUAUUCGGAUGCUAAGAAAAGCCAUUUUUCUUGUAGUGGGAAGAGGGGGAAGCUCUUGAAAAAGCUCUACGCAUAAACGAGCGAAUAAUACAUAGGACUUUUCCACCGUUGCCAUAUAUAUCAACAAACGCAAGACACUAGAGACUGCAACAUAUAUAUAGAAAUACAUAUUCAUUAGUGACCAAACCAUUAGAAAAACAUACAUAUUAGUGAUCAGAUUAACCAUUAGAUAAAAAACUCUCGUAUGUCUACAAAAAGCGACAGAAGAACCUUCAAGAUAAAAGCGGAGGGAGUUAAUAUUACUGUAUGAACAAUUUCAUCCUUGUUCUUUUCGAAGUUGCGUUGAGUCAACCAACAAACCCUAGAUACCACCUCGAAGAAUAAUAGAAGUUACACAUAAUAAGUGAUACUGUAUAUACGAAAAGAUAUUAUAUGAUAUUUACAUAAGAGCCCCUACUAUCAAUCAAUAUGAAAAAGAACGGUAUUUACAUAAGAGCUUAUUUAUACCAAACUCCCAAAACGAAUACGUUCAUAUACAAAAUAUUAUCAAAUAAUUAGUAUUUCGAAAGUUAUAAUAUUCCUGCCAAAUGAAAAAAAAGAAAAAAAAAAAACAACUUGACUUGAUACGCUUAACCGUUUUGAUUUUUUACAGCUCUAGCUCCUCUUGGUUCAAACUUAUACAGAUGAAACUCGGGCGAGAUUCCAAGAUCGCCGGAAUAACUCUUCUUCUUCGAUAACUAGUCACUCUGAAUUUCUCUCGAGAAACUACAAAAGUUGACCAACGUUUAAACAUUUUCUUGUCAUCAUGUACAACAAGUAUGACGUGUAUUGGAUUUUUAUUUUCUUUGCUACCUAAAAACGUGGGAACAUAUAAAAUUUUUGGCUUUCUUUUAUAUUUCUUGGUCUUUUGUUUGUUUGGCUUUUCAGUUUUCAUGGCAAUUUAGGUGUUUACGCACACAAGUCUUCUUUACCGUUCUGAGAAAUGACUUUGUUUUUAUUUUCGGAUAUUGUAUAAAAGAAAACAAGGUCCGGUUAUGAGUCUCCUAUUCGAAAAAAGGUUUAGAAUACAAUCAAUCACAAAUUGAAGUAAGACUCAUAAAUAGACUCAUGGGCCCAUCAUAGGCCCAAUAUCAACUUGGUACUUACAGAGUGAACCAGUUAGCUAAACAAGAAGAAUCAAAGCAACUCCUGAAUCGCAGAGUAGAGAGCACGGUUAGGGACAAGGUUGAGAUGUGACAGUUUGAGAUUUGUCAUCGGCGACGUCUUGUGACCUGUGCUAAUCCAUUUCUUAAUAGCUUCUAAUUCGUAUGUGAAUCCAUCGGCAGCCAUGUGUGGAUCUUCCAUGACAUCCUGCGACAAAUAUAAACCACAUUAACAUGUUAAAAAGUUUACAAGACUUUUGAGUGUUAUGCAAGUUAUCUUCUUGUAGAGAAUUAUAUGGUCUCGCCUGUGUUAUAGGGCAGAAAAAUGAUGAUGGAGGCUGACGAAGGCGCACUGUCUCUUGUGCUGUUUUAAGAGCAUUGUCCUUCUCUUGUCGCAUUGCAUCUGUUUCUUGUUUGUACGAUUCGACAAUUCCUUUGACAAUCUUGAGCGCUAGUAUUUUAGUAGAAAGCGAAUCCUCUGUUUUUUUUCUAAUAAUUGACUCUUGGUCGUACUUGUCUUGCCAUGUUAUCACCUGUGAAUUCAGGUUCUUUUUUUCUAUUAUUACAGUUUCAUGCAGUUGCUUUAACCCCUCCAACGCUUUCACGUCUUCUCUCCUGCGUGCCAGUUCUUCGUUGUAUUCGCUCUCGAAAUACUCAGCCUUCCAACGCAUAUAAUCACGUUCUAUGGCUAACGCGAUUUCAGUUUCUGUCCUACGCUGCAACUCUGCUUCAUGUUUGUGCUCCAAGGCUUUAACUUGAAGUUGCAAUUUACCUUGUUCUUCCUUGUAAGACUCAAGUAACUGUUCCAUCAUCUCUACUUCUUCCUUUGUUCUAGAAAGUGCAUCUUCUCCUUCCCUAAGCUUGACUUCGACUUCGUCAUUGUACUUAUUCUCCAACUCUAUAGCCUGUAAAUCAAGCCUAGAAGUCAGCUAGUUUUCCAAUGGAGGACAGAAAUAAAUAUAUUAAUUGCUUAGGUAUUCCUCUCAGGUGGUAAGAUGGGAUUCAUAAGCACCUACAUUACAAUUAGUACUAUGCUCUUAAUUAAACCCUUUAUUAGUAGAUCCAAGAGUAAAAAGAAAUAAAAGGCAAGGCAAAGGCAAACCUGAAUUAAACUUUUCCGUGUUGUUUCAGUGAUCUUCUUAUCCUUGAAAACUUCAGCCAAAACCCUAACUGUUUUGAUGAAUCUCCAAUAGUUUGAUUCAUCAACAUAAACAUGUGUCAGUGGUUCUGUUUUGGGGGAUGAGUUUUCAAGCUCUACUAGGCAAUUACGCAAAAACCGUCUCUCAAGAGUUGUAAUUUCGCACUGAGAUUCAUCUGAUGGAAGAUGGGGAAGCUCAUGAAAAAGCUCUACGCAUAUACGAGCUACAUAGGAGUUUUCCACAGUUUCCAUAUCCAAAAACGCAAGACAAUAGAGACUGCAACAUGUAUUUAAUAUAUACAUACAUAUUAGUGAUCAAAUUAAACCAUUAUAAAAUGUCUCAUAAGUCUAUAAAAAGCGACAGAGAACGUAACCUUCAAGAUAACAGCCGAGGGAGAUGCUCCUAUUGUAUGAACAAUCUCAUCCUUAAUGAUCUUGUCGAAUUUGCGUCGUGUCAACCAGUUGAGUAAACUACAAGAAUGAGACAGGAUUUGUUGAUGAUAGUAAAACCCUGAUCUAGAACUCACCGAGGGAGAUCUCAGCCAAGAAAGUGAUUACCAAGGAAGAAGAAUCACUUCCAAGGAUUGAGAAUCUAUAAUCGUAACACGGAGAUUUAAGGGUUUUGAUAAUUUGAUUGAUUGGGUUUUUAGAAAGUCGCUAAAGCCUUACAUAUUUAACUAAAUCAAGAGAUCAAAGAGCCCAAACCAUGUUAUUAACGGGUUUAUCCUAUAACAAAAUCAUAACUAACUAAACCAUAGAUCAGAGAGUCCAAACCAAGUUAUUAACUGUUAAAUUCGGGCUUAUCAUGGGCUUCCAACUCAAAACCAAUUGGCAAUUAGUGGAUUGGCCCUAACACUUUAUAUCACUUAAUAAUUUCUCCAACUUCCGAUGUGGGACUUUCUCUCAUUAACACCCCCCUCACGCUCAUGCAUCGUUGGCUCUGAAGCGUGGGCAUAUGUGGGAACAACAUCCACGGGGUGGCCCGAUAUGGGACUUCAAUAACACCCUCCCUCACGCUCAGACAUGAACAUCUGAAGCGUGGGCAUAUGUGGGAACAACAUCCACAGGGUGGCCAACGAUCGGUGGCUCUGAUACCAUGUUAAAUUCGGGCUUAUCAUGGGCUUCCAACUCAAAACCAAUUGGCAAUGAGUGGAUUGGCCCUAACCCUUUAUAUAUCACUUAAUAAUUUCUCCAACUUCCGAUGAGACUUUCUCUCAUUAACAUUAACCGGUUUAUCCUAUAACAAAGAACUCGAAAGGCAAAAUCAAUCCACAAAUUAAGGAUCAAUGAGAAUGGUCUGCCACUCUGGCUAAUUAUUAAGUAAAUACACAAACCCUAGAAUAAUAGAAAAAUAACAUAAUUAGAGAUACCAAAAGAUAUUAUAUGGUAAUUUACUUAAGAGCCCUAGUAUCAAUUAAUAUGAGGAAAUAAGGGUUGUGUUAUAUUUGUAUAGUUCAUCUUAUAUUGUAGAGCUUAUUUUAUAUAGAACUCCUAAAACGAAUCUAAAUCAUUAGCUGUUAUAUUGUUAUAAGAUACCCAAAUAUUGUACAUAUACACUUAUAUAUUAUAUAAUAAAAACACCCAUAUAUAAUCUACAAAAUAUUAUCAAAAAAUUAAUAUUUGUGGAACAAAAACUUUAAAAUUUGGUAUUUUAGAGAAUUGCCCAUUUAUAAUCGACAAAAUAUUAUCAAAGAAUUAAUAUCUCAAGACUAUAAAGUUAUAUAUCUAAAUAUUAUCAAAACAUUUUAUACAAUAAUGAGUUUCCGACUAAGAGAGAUUUUAAAAUACUUGGGAUCACAAAUUCAAGGAAGACUCAUAAAUAGAGUCGUGAGACCAUUUUAUAGACUAAAUCUUCUAACUUCUAAUUGUAAACCGGUUCGAAAAUUAGGAAGAAUCAAACCAACUCCUCAAUCGCAGUCCGGAGAGCACGAUUAGGGACAAGAGUGAGAUGUGGAAGCGGGAGAUUUGUCAUCGGCGACGUCUGGUGACCUGUUCUAAACCAUUUCCUAAUAGAUUCUGCUUCGUAUGUGAAUCCAUCGGCAGCAAAGUGUGGAUCAUUCAUGACCUCCUGCGACAAAUAUAAACAAUACGAGAUUGAGUGUUAUGCAAGUUAUCAUAUUCUUGUAUAAGAUUUGUGCUUGCCUGUGUGAUAGGGUAGAAAAACGAUGAUGGAGGUUGACGCUUUUCCAUUAGCUCUUUUGCUGUUUUGAGAGCAUUGUCCCUCUCUUCUCGCAUCGCAUCUGCUUCUCCGUUGUAAAAUUCUAGCAGUCCUUUGACUAUCUGAAGCUCUUCUUGUUCUCUAGAAAGUGCAUCCUCCCCUAGUUUCCGUAGACGACACUCUUGCUCGUACUUGUCCUGCCAAGUUCUGACCUCUGAGGUCAGACUCUCUUGCUCUGUUUUGUAGGUUUCAAGCAGUAGCUUUACUUCUUCCAACUCUUUCCUUUCUUUAUCCAGCGCACUCUCUGAUCCUAUCCUGAGAAUCAUCUCACCCUCGUACUUGCUUUCGAACUCUUUAGCCUUCAAACGCGUAUCAUCGCGUUCAUUUUCAACAGUUUCCAGUUGAAUCUUUACCUUCUCUAACCUCUCCCGUUCUAUGGCAAGCAAGGUUUCAGUUUCUUUCCUAUGCCUCAACUCUGCUUCAUGCUUGUGCUCCAAGGCUUUAGCUUGAAGUUGCAAUUUACCUUGUUCUUCCUUGUAAGACUCAAGUAAUCGUUCCAUCAUCUCCACUUCUUUCUUUUUUCUAGCAAGUGCAUCUUCUGCUUCUUUCCUAAGCUUUACUUCGUCAUUGUAAUUUCUCUCUAACUCUACAGCCUGUAAAUCAAGCUAGCGUUAGAGAGAUAUACGCAAACCAAAAGAUUAAGCUUUUAGAUAUAUUCAUGUCUUCCGAUAUAAAGGUACGUUACCCGAGAACUUCGAAUUAGCUGAUUGAAAUUUUCAUCAGAAAAAUGGAAGUCAGCUAGUUUUCCAAUGGUGGACAGAAAUAAAUUCAUCGCAUCGGUGAUCCUCUCAGGUGGUAAGAUGGGAUUCAUAAGCACCUAUACAUUACAAUUGAAAUUAUCAUGUGCUCUAAAUUAAAUCCUUAAGUAGAAGCAGAUCCAAGAGUGAAAAUAAAUAAAAAACGCAAGGCAAGUCAAGGCAAACCUGAAUUAUGCUUUUACGGGUUGUUUCAGUGAUCUUCUUAUUCUUGAAAACUUCAGCUAAAACCCUUACGGUUUUGAUGAAUCUGUAACAGUUUGAUUCAUCAACAUAAACAAGUGGUAAAUGUUCUGUUUUGGGGGAUGAGUUUUCAAGCUCAAUUCGGCAUUUACGCAAAAACAGUCUCUCAAAAGUUGUAAUAUCGCCGUGAGAUUCAUCUGAUGGAAGAGGAGGAAGCUCGUGAAAAAGCUCUACGCAUAAGCGAGCGAAUAAGACAUAGGAAUUUUCCACCAUUGCCAUAUCGAAAAUGCAAGACACUAGAGACUGCGACAUAAAUAAAAAUACCAUUAGAAAAGUCUCAUAAUAUAUUUAUCAACAAAAAGGGACAGAGAACCUUCAAGAUAAAAGCAGAUGGAGAUGAUCUUAUUGUAUGAACAAUCUCAUCCUUGAUCUUGUCAAAGGUUGCGUUGCGUCAACCAGUUAAGUAAACUACACGAAUUAAAAAGCAAAACGAAUCAAGAAAUGUUACCAAGAAGAAAUAGCUACAACUUUGAAAACGAAUCCAAACUAGCCAUAUCUAUUAAUUACAUUGUUACAAGAUAUACAAGAAUUAGUAGCCAAGAAGAAAGAGUUCCAAAGCUUUUUUUACCUCUUUAAUUUUUCCAGCAUUCGCUUCUCCUCCAUCGAACAUACACCGAUGAAACUCCGGCGAGAAUCCAUGAGCAUAAGAUCUCCGGAAUUCUUCUUCUUCUUCUACUUCUUCUUCUUCUUAUUGUGCAACUCUGAUUUUCUGCGCUUCUUGAGAAGCUAAAAAGUUGACUAAAAACGUUUAAACUUCUUCUUGUCAUGCAGAGCAAGUGUGACGUGUCUCUCCUUCACUGGAUUUUAAUUAACUUCGGCCCAUAAGAUGGAAAUUUGACUGAAUUCAGUAGACAGGCCCAUUUAGUGGCCCAUUGAUGGUGGAAACCCUAGCUAUAAAUAGAAGAGACUCUCUCUCUUCAUUUAUCAUUUCUCUUUUCUUUCUAGAGAAAUCGGCGAAUCUGUAACUAAGUACCAACAACAACAAUGAGAGCCAAGGUAACAUCUUCGUCUUCUCCGAUUCAAUAUUGUUCUUUGUGUUUGAACUCACUAGCGUUAGAUUCAUCGAUUAGAUUAUCUAAGACGCAUUCAUUUAUGGAUACAUAUGAUAUACGUACGUAUAGAGAAAGGUAUAGAUAGAGUUAUAUACUAUAUUGCCUGUGUUAUACGUCUUUAGUAAAGCCGUACAAGAAGAUCUUAGGAUUGUGUUUUUGAUAUUAGAACUAUUAAGAAUUGAUAAUCGAUUUUGCAUCACAUUGCGUCCAAAAGAUAUUUUUGUUCAUAUUUUACAUGUUAAAUUUGGUGUAUUGAGAUUUUGCAAAGGUUAAUCUUGAUUGGAACGAUCUCUGUGCCAUAAAACCCAUUACAGUUUCUUGAAACCGUAGUUCUUAUAGGUUGGGUUAGGUUAGGUUGUAAUAAUCUCUCCAUUUAUUAUGUCCUGUUUCUUUCAUUCUGUGUAUUGUUGUUAUUCAGUAAUAAUGACGACAUUGGUUAUGGUUUUUGGAUAUUAUUGCAGUGGAAGAAGAAGCGUAUGAGGAGAUUGAAGAGGAAGCGUCGAAAGAUGAGACAGCGAUCCAAGUAGAGACCACCAACAACCAAGUUCCUCCCCCUAAUAACUCUCUCGGCUCUCUGUGAUUCUGUUUUGUCUUGAGACUUUCUUUUUAGCAAACAAACCUUUUUCUUUUUAGUAUCGAGUUUUGAACAUUCUGGGAUGUAUGUAAAACUUGCGUUUGUGCUCUUAUCUAUAAUCAAUCACAGAUCCUUUUAUCUUAUCAUCACUGUUUUCAGUAUGGGUGAAGCUUAUUUUUGACUAAUUGUUCAGACAACAAACAAUC